This 45016-nucleotide long non-coding RNA is filed under the name Citrus maxima (pomelo). RNAcentral describes it as "long non-coding RNA (CMAX_LNC003938)". Lineage: Eukaryota; Viridiplantae; Streptophyta; Magnoliopsida; Sapindales; Rutaceae. The record is from RNAcentral.
GACCUAUAUAUAAAUUUGAUACUUGGCAAUAAUUUCCAUUUAGCCUUAUUUCAAUGUUACGCUUAACAACAGAAAUCCAAUCACUGGGCAUUAUUUUAGCUUGUUCAUAUUUUAGGAGUUAAUAUCUAGGUUUGAUUGAAUAGGCUUCACAACAGAACAUGAGUCCUUCUCUAUUAUAACUGUCCUGAUUGUAUUUUGCAUGAGGUCCUCUGUGGUUUUUUUCUUUUUGGGGCCACAUCUUUAGUAUUUGCAGUUUCCUAUUUAGAAUUUCAACCCUUUAGCGAAUUCAGCAAAACUGGCAAGUCUCAUACAUUCCAGCCAAAAGCUUUUAAAUGAAGAUCAGUUGCACUCCUUAGAAUCAUGUGAUAUAAGCGUAUGGGAAAAAAUUGACACUGAGGCACUAUACAUUACAUGUGAUGAAUAUAUCUAUUUAUUCCUCUUUCUUGGAUUACUGUUCACAACCAAGUAAAGCAGCAUGGAACACUGUCUUAACCUGAUAUUUUGGUCUCAAAUGCUACUCUGAUCAAUAUCCUUUCAAAAUUCAAAAUUCUACACAUAAUUUCAACUCUUAAGCCACCCUUUGUACCAUAAUAUCGGCACCUAACAAAAAAGAGGACCUGCACUCUUUUAACAGAUACAAGCAAUAAGCACUUCACAUGCCAAUUUCCAUUAUCAAGUAAAGCCCUAUUUUUUUCUAUUUAUACGUAAAAAAUUUAUAACAAAAGCAGUACCAAAAAUGUGGAGCAACUGUGGUACAUGGGAAAUAUAUAAGAAACACCGGAAACAUAACCAAACAAAAGCAUAGUGUUUAAGAUCUCUAAAAAUUCCAAAAAAGGACGAGUGAAAAUGAUUUUUUGGAAGAUGAGUACAACAGAAAGACCCCAAACCAAGCUAAGUCCAUUACCAUUCAUCCAUUUUUCAACUAAUCAACACUGCUAAAAUUUUCUUGAACCUAGAACACUAAGCUAUGAAGAAUGACAGACCAUAUUCCAUAGAUCACCAAUCAAAAGGCAUUAUAAGAGAAGAAGACCUAUACAAUCCCCAAUACCCUUGUGCCAUAAAACACCAGCUUAUAAUAAUUUAUUUCUUCUUACCAAAUUUUAUUGUGUUACGAGUUCAACCAAGGAAUAUCAAUUUUAGCAAAUUAUAUCUCAAUCUAUUCAAAUAAUGGCCAAAGGUCAGAUGUCUGUGCAUGUUCAGGUUUUUUUUCAGUUCAAUGGAGCACUUCUUAUACCAAAGAACAUAGGAUAGCAACCAGAAAAAAGGGAAAAAAAAAAAGAUACACAAGUUGCAGCAAUAAAAUAAAGCUUUAUGAAGGAGAACUUUCACUUCAAAACUGAUACUCAGGCUCAGCAAUGGAGUCCAAGAUCUCUUGUGAAUGAUAACAAAUGAUAUAAUGAUAUAACUUAGAAAAUAGAAACCCAAGGAAAAAUCAUCUCCAAAUAUUAAAUUAAUGGAAGUAAGCAAUACCUGGUUUAAUCUCCAAACAUCAGACAACAAGUUUUUCUGGUUCUCUGGAUACAAGCGAGGGAGGAGGAAGGAAAGCGGAACUGAAUUAAUGAUAAUGAAACAUGAUUCUGAAAGUACAUUAAUGCGCUAGACUCUACAAUGAACAACUAACCAGAAUCAACUGCUUUAAUCUCCCUCAUGGUAGCAUCAGCUGACAUCAACGGUUUAAUAAAGAACUGUGCAAAUCUGUGCAGUAAAUCACAGGAAAGACUCAGACUCAAAAACUCAAGUACUGAAAGAUUUGAUACUUAAGAAAAAUGAAAAAUGGCAUGUACCUGUCCAAAGCUUCUUCAAAGGAGUCAGGGUUUACAUCAAAGUAGUAGUUUGUAUGCUCAGAAGAUGUAAACGCAUUUGCCAUUCCUCCAUGCUGUGCAUAAGAAAAUUAAUCCGCGGUGAAAAUUAGAACAACACCUUGCUCGGCGUACUUACAGGGAUUAAUCAAGAAAUAAAGCAGAGAGCAGUUUGUAUUUAUCACUUGAUCACACAACCUAAAAUGUAUGUGCUCAGUUGUGUAAUGACACCCUAGUUUCUACCCCAAAAGAAUUCCCAAGAUAAUCCUUAAAAGAGAACAAAAAGUGCACUCUCCAAACAGACACAUCAAGGAACAUACCAGUGAUACCACCCAUACGCAGGGGGCCAAAUUAAAAAGGAAAUGAUCAAUCUCUGGAGCGAACCAGAUUUCUAUAAAUAAUGCAAAUAAAGCUCAAGACAGGGAAGCAAAACUACAUGAAAGACAUACUUCAGUACUUCUGCUACCAAAAUAUGAAUGCGCCAAUCAAAACAGGACACCUGUACCAAGGACCUAGGUAGGAGGUAUUCCUUUAUCCCGUAAAGAAGAUUACAGGCCAUAAUAAUCACCCACAAACCAUCUUUCCUACAAGGUCACUAGAGUUGCUUCCCCAAUAUAUUAUAUAUCAAAAUUAAAAAUAAAAACAAAUUUCAGACUCCGGAUUCCUCUUCACAUUUCUCAAACUGUAUUUAAGAUCAAUGUUAACCAUAAACAAUACCAAACCACCACCCAAUGACUCUACUAGAAAACAUAAGCAAAGAUAGGAUGUGGAAUCACAACUAGUCUUAGGAUGAAUGCGCCAAUCAAAACAGGACACCUGUACCAAGGACCUAGGUAGGAGGUAUUCCUUUAUCCCGUAAAGAAGAUUGCAGUGCCAUAAUAAUCACCCACAAACCAUCUUUCCUACAAGGUCUCUAGAGUUGCUUCCCCAAUAUAUUAUAUAUCAAAAUUAAAAAUAAAAACAAAUUUCAGACUCCGGAUUCCUCUUCACAUUUCUCAAACUGUAUUUAAGAUCAACGUUAACCGUAAAUAAUACCAAACCACCACCCAAUGACUCUACUAGAAGACAUAAGCAAAGAUAGGAUGUGGAAUCACAACUAGUCUUAGGAUGUGCUUUCAACAACCCGUAGUAAGGCUGUGGUCAUUAUUCACUAUUGCAAUAUUACCUAAAUCAUCACCCUGACACUAUGCAAGAUCAGUAACCUAAAGACAUAAAAUCUAAAGUAAAAAGGAAAUUUCUGGCACAAGUUGUCUCAAGUAUCAAAAGACAGCUUGAGAGGAUCAUGUUCACAAUGUAAUUCAUAAUUUUUCACUCCAGCAUACAUCAGUCAAUGCAUGGAAAGUCCACAGCAUCACUUAGAACGGUAAGAAUACAUAUUGACAAUUAAAGUAUUUUUUUCGACUACAUUACCAAACAUUAUCAAAUCAUAUCACAAGAAAUUGAUAGACCACCGUGCCAGCGAACUUUCUAAACCCUUGUUGAAUAAACUGACUACAUCUAAAUCCAAUCCGGUUAUGGGUCAGCUCCACAGAGAAAAGAACAUAAAUGGAGUCAUCACCCCAUUCCACAAUAGAACAAUCCAUGGCUGUAAAUUUAAACAAGAAUACCUUUUCCACUUCCAAUCACUAAGAUACAAUCUGACCGCAAUGGCUUGCAGGAAAAUAGAGGAAUGUAAUUAAAACUAAAACUCCCAUCAGCCCUACAAAUCAAGUGAAGAAUUUGCUUCAGGAUUUUGUUUUUAGCAAACACCUGAUUAACAAAAAAGUUAAGAUUUUCCUCUGGAGGGAAAAUGUGUCUUUUUAGUCAGUUAUAUUCCAAGGGAAUAGCAUUCAAAAUUUUUUUCCUUGUCUGUGUAUCUCGCCAACUCCAUCCACUUCUAGUUAAAGUCUAUUAUUAGUAUCAAAGAGCAAGAUUAAGCAUAAAGCAUGAUUCUCUGAAACUUUUACUUAAGAAAACAUACUAGAAAUAAGUGAAACAGGACAUUAUUGAGGGCCAAUACCUCUGAUAUGUACUUUAAAUAGCUAUCCUCCACUGGAUAUUUCUCACUAGCAUAAAACAGCAUAUGCUCUGCACAUUAAAGAAACAGGAAAACAGUAACUAAAGCAAGUUAUAAAUACUCGAACUCAUUAAACAGGCCACAGAAAUUGUCCCCUACAGCCAUAUAAUUAUCUAACUACAGCUAAAAGCAAUAAUAAUGUAGAAUAGGAGAGUAAAAGAAUCAUCCAAUAAAUCACCACACAACAGAAUUCAAAAAAAAAAAAAAAUAUCAAUGACAAUAGCAAACAGUGAAAAGGGAAAAGAAAGUAGGCAAAUUAGGAAGAGAUGAAAGAACCGAGAAUGAAACAAUGCUAUAACUUUAACAGGAAAUAAACAAGCCUGAACAUACAAUGAAGAAAUACUUGAACCAAAAAGAAAGUACAAGUGAAACUUCUAAUUCUGUUUAACUCUUUCUACUCUAAUUUCAAUAUGAGCAACACAUUGUAUUUUAAUCUGUGAUCAGCCGAAAACACGUUUAGAGUCAUCUCACAAAAACCCAUCCCCUUUUUUUUUUUAAGUAACUUCUACAAUUUACAUUCAUACAAGACUAAAAUUUCCCAAAUCACGAAUUCAAAUUUGCCACAAGAUACAUUAAAUAUACCGAGAAAAUGGGCAAGGCCCUCGAGACCAACAGGGUCACAAAAGGCGCCAACGCUGACAUUCAUUGAAGCAGCACACUGAAGCAAAAACAAUAAAACAAACCAAACCCACAAGAUUACUAGCUUAAAUUAAACUGAAAAAAAAAUUUUAAAAAUUUGGGUCUUGCUGGUUACCUUAUCGGCAUCAGGAUCGCUGAUCAAAAGGACAUGAAGAGAGUUUUUAAGGACGAGUCUCCGGUACUGUCUCUUGUCCGUACGUGGCUUUAUAAUCUCUACGUCAUCUUUACCGACAGCCAUUUUUUCAGUCUCUUGCAGAAGAGAGAAACAAUCGUUUUGGCUUUAUAGGGAUCCACAAGUGAAAUGACCGAGACCAAGACUUUAUUUUUUAUUUUUUUAUAAAAAGACCAAGACGUUUUUGCUCGAGUCUCCUGUGCUUUUGUGUUGUGGCUGUCACGGAUAUUUGCUUCCUCAAUAAAUAUGUGACAAAUUUCACAAACCUGCCUUAAAGAGAGUUAGUUAUUGACUUACUUUGACCAAAACGACGUUAUUAGUUAUGUGGUUGUAAGAGAAUCUUUUAUACACAUAAAAAAAAAAUAAUAAUAAUAAUAAUAAAAAGAGAAUCUUUUAUACAAUGUCUGGGUCGAUCGCGAUCGAUACUGCAUGAAUGCAAAACAUUCGAUAAACGUAAUGAAGAGAGAGGCUUUACUUCGUCUGACAUGACUUCAAACUAAUUGCUGUUAAAAUUAUCAAACUAUUAUUGCAAAAAAAAAAAAAACAUAUAAUACUGCAAGUUCGAAUGUAAUUUUUAAAUAGGUUUAUUUAACUAAUCAUUCAAGUUCAAAUUUUUGAGAGAGAAAUAAUAUUAUUAAAGAAGAAGAACAUACCAAGUUGUCAAUGGAAAGAACAGUGAGAGUAAAGAUAAACAUUAAAUUAGAGAAAAGAUUAUAAAAGAAAUUAAUUAUUCGUUUUAUCUAAUCUUCAGCUAGCUUCAUCCUUCUCUGAUUUGAAGGCAAAAAUUUUGUUUAAAUUUGUGGCUGUUGUAUAUUUUGUAAGUUCAAAUGCCCCACCACUCUAUAUUUAAAAAAAUAAAAAAAAUACGAAAAUAAUUUUUUUUGACUAUAUAUUCAUGAUUUAGAUAAUCUUAUGUAGCCUUCUUUUUUUUUUUUUAUAAAUCUAAAUGGGUCUGAAAGCAUAUGUUUGAAUGAUAAUUUUUUUUUUUUUUAAUGUCUAACUGUAAGUGAUAAGUUUUAUACACUCAAAACAUCUUAAAUAUAAUACUUUUAUACUUAUGACCUUGAAAGUGUUAUUUAUAUUUAGUUAAUUUAAAUAGGUAUAUACUUGCAAUGUUAUUUAGUACAAUAGUAUUUAUAUGUUAUAAAUAUUUAUAAGGUAAACAUUUGAUAUAUAAUUUAUGAAAAAUAAUUUUGAUAACAUUAUUUUUUACAAAUUAACAUAGUAUUUAUACAGUAAAAAAAAUUGUUAUCUAAUAAUAAAAGAAUUUGCACAUAUUGAAUGCAUGUUAAGUAAUUAAUACUAAGCAAAAGUUGAGGUCAAGAGAAAUUCUAAUAUGACAUCUAAAUUAUGUUAUAGACAGUUAAUUAAAAAAAAAUUCUUUCGAUUAAAAGAAAUCAAAUGAUUAUUAGGUUUUACAUAAUAGUUAGGUAGAAAAUAAAUUCAUUUGAUGAGAGUACUUGUGAGAAAAAAAAUAAUUUCUCAUUCAGAUAAAAAUUAAAAAAUUUUAUUUUUUCCAUUAAAAUGAAAAUAUCUUAUAAUAAGACUUUAGAUACAAAACCAAACAAGCUAAAAUACCAAAACAUCUUAAAUCAAGUCAAAUUAAGACUUUAGACAUAAAAAAAAAUAAACCCUUACUUUUACUCAUCAAAUAAUGAAACCGUGCACCGCAGACAGCCUACAAAACUCAUCAAAAACGAUUCUAUUCACAACUUAUUAUGAUCAGUACUCGGUAGUUAAGAAUAUUAUUAACUACCCCUUUUUUUAUAAACCAUAAACUAAGAUAAUUGAAACCCACGUAAAGAAACAUUAAUCAAGAAUAUUCCUAAUAAGACGGUUUGCGAACGUACAAAUAUAACAUGAUUUUGUUUUGUGGGACUCUCCGCCUUCAGAUAUUUCUAGGCUUCCCUCUUAUGACGCUAAGGACUCUUGCUUUGUUCUAUUUUAUUUUUCGUGCAAUUCUUGUUUCGCGCGCUGUCAUAGCUUUCUUUCUAUUUUACAAGGAAAUGCUCACUAUUCCUGUUGAUUGAGAUAUUUUGAUGGUCUUAUUAAGAAUAUCAGUCCUCACAUUUGUUGUUAUUGUUGUUCGUUAUAAUCUUGAACUAACAUCCAAACGAAUGAUGGCAAGAUUACUGAACUUCUUUUCAUUGUUAACUUUCUCGUUGAGGCUCAGCGUCGGAGGGCUCCUGCCUUUAAAAAACUCUACCCCUUCAAACUAAGGGUUGGAUCAAUUGGGCCAAGAGACGGGUUGGGCUUGUUUGUCAUUCUUAAAUUCAGCCUAACAUUGAAAUAUGAAAGCACAAUGAAUAAGAAGCAAAGAAAGAAGGAAAAGGAAUACAAUUAUACAAACCUCAAAGAUUCUCUCGCUGAUUUUUUAAGCAUUCGUGAAAGGAACCUAAAUACAGCCUAGGGAACAUAGUGAGCAUUAACCAUUAAAGAAACAUAUAUAUAGCGAUUGAAAAAAAAAAGACUGCUAAUUAAGAAGAAAAGAUCAUGUUGAAGUGUGAGCUGUGAAACUGAUUUCCAGAGACUCAUACGACAUGUCAGUUCAUGAUUGGUACAGAAUACGACUGGUCGGCUAAGAUCAUGCAAAGCCAUACGACAAAGCUGUUUGUUCAUCCAUAUGCGAAUAAGUCAAGCACGUGGUCGUCACAUGCUUACACUUAUUCAAUACGACUUUGCUGAGUGCCGUUUUGGAGCCUUCAUUCAACGUGAAGCAAACACGUGGCUCUGAAGGUCGUUAUGUUCUGUUACAAGAGCAGGAAGAUCUGGUUUUUAUUGACAGAGGAGAGCUGACUGGUGGGGGUAAUUUCUGGGCUCACUUAAGCAUGUAUAUACAGCCUUAAAUGAUGUGGAAUCAGGGUGUGUGAUGCUUGUAACUUCAUCUAAAGACUUGUAUCUUGUUCCUGGUGAUUGAAUAAAGAUUGUUGCUCUGUUCUUCAGAGGAUGCAAGCCAACUCCAAGCUGAACCACUUAAAUCUGUUUUUUUCGUUGGUUGCUGUUCUUUAGUUCCUUUUGUGUAUCUUUUAUUAUUGCUUAAGUAUUUCUUAAUCAAGCAUCAGAGUGUUUAGAUAAAUCUUGGGAAUCUUGGUUGAUUUAAUUCGAUCAAGGUCUAACAAAUUGGUAUCAGAGCCCAACAACUCUGAUUUUUUAUCCAAGAAAUGGCAACCUCUAAGUUUCAAGUAGAGAAAUUUACAAGAGAGAAUGACUUCCAUUUAUGGCGGCUCAAGAUGAGAGCAUUGUUGGUCCAUCAAGGGCUUGAAGAAACACUGGGGGAUCCAAGAUCUGAAAAGAAGCCCAGCAAGCUCAGUGGAGAAGAAAUGCAAGAUGCAUUAGACAAGGCUCAUAGCACCUUAAUCUUGAGUCUGGGUGAUGGAGUUCUGAGGGAAGUUGGGGAUCAAACAACUGCUGCAGGCCUCUGGAAGAAAUUAGAAGAUCUCUAUACGAAAAAGUCUCUAACCAAGAGACUUUGCACCAAGAAGAGGCCGUAUACAUUGCAGAUGGAGGAGGGUAGCUCUCUGGCAAAUCACAUUGAUAACUUCAACAGAAUCAUUCUUGAUCUUGAAGAUAUCAAUGUGAAACUGGAAGAUAAAGGAAAGGCAAUAAUCUUGUUAUCAUCUCUCCCACCUUCCUAUGAACAUUUCGUGGACACUUUACUAUAUGGAAGGCAGUCAAUAACCAUGGCUGAUGUGAAAGACUCUCUCAGUUCAAAAGAGGUCAUAAGGAAGUCAGAAGUAAAAGAUGGUGAAGGCUUGACAGCAAGGGGUAGACCAGAGAAGAAGGAUUAUAGUAACAAGAAUAGAAACACAGCAAAUCAAAGUCAAAGAAUAAAAGUCUGAAAUGUUUCCAGUGCCACAAAGAGGGACAUUUCAAGAAAGACUGUCUAGAGAGAAAGAACAAGAAAAAAGAUGGACCCAAGAAGAAUAGAGAUGUUGUUGUUGCAUCAGAAGAAAAGGAUGAUGAAGGCUAUGACUCAGCUGGUGUUCUUCUAGUCACUGGAACUCAAACCAAUGGUAAGUGGGUGUUGGAUUCUGGAUGCACUUAUCACAUGUGCCCUGAUAGAAAUCUUUUUUCCAGUUAUAGAUUUUUUAAUGGUGGGGAAGUUAUGAUGGGAAACAACUCACUUUGUAAAGUGGUUGGACUUGGAACCAUUAGGCUUAAAAUGUUUGAUGGGGUGAUUAGGGAAUUAAGUGAAGUAAGACAUGUUCAUGAGCUAAAAAGAAACUUAAUAUCACUAGGAAUCCUUGAUCAAAUAGGCUGCAUCAUUAAAAUGGAAUCUGGGAUUAUGAAGAUAAUUAGAGGGUCCAUGGUGAUAAUGAAGGGGGCCAAAAAUAAUGGCUUGUAUGUGCUGUAAGGGACAACCAUUACAGGGGAUGUUAGUGUCUCAACCAGUAAGAAUCCAAACAAAACACUAAUGUGGCACAUGAGAUUGGGGCAUAUGAGUGAAAGGGGGAUGAAGAUAUUAAAAAAACAGGGAGUCUUGAGGGAUGAUAAGAUAAGUUCUGUUGAGUUCUGUGAGGUAUGUGUCCUAGGAAAAUCCUCUAGAACUAGCUUCAAAACUGCAGUGCAUAAGACCAAAGGAACCUUAGAUUACAUCCACUCUGAUCUGUGGGGACCAGCACAGACAACUUCUUUAGGUGGAGCUAAAUAUUUCCUAUCCUUGAUUGAUGACUAUUCUAGAAUGGUUUGGGUGUAUCUCUUAAAGAGUAAAAAUGAAGCCUUUGAGAAGUUUAAGCAGUGGAAAGCACUGGUAGAAACACAAACAGGUAGAAAAGUCAAGAGGCUAAGGACUAAUAAUGGUUUAGAAUUUUGCAAUUAACAAUUCAAUGAUUUCUGUGCUCAGAAUGGAGUUGUAAGACACAAGACAGUAAGACCUACUCCACAGCAAAAUGGACUUGCUGAGAGGAUGAAUAGGACUCUCAUGGACAAAGUAAGAUGUCUGCUAAUUCACUCAAAACUUCCUUAAUCCUUAUGGGCUGAGACACUUAUGAUAGCUUGCUAUUUAGUCAAUAGAAGUCCAUCCAGUGGCAUAGACUUUAAAACACCUAUAGAAAUGUGGUCAGGCAGAGCUGCUAACUAUUCUGAUUUGAAGAUAUUUGGCUGCCCAUCAUUUGCACAUGUAAAGCAAGGAAAGCUUGAGCCUAGGGCUCUGAAAUGUGUCUUCCUUGGAUAUCCUGAGGGUGUGAAGGGCUAUAGGCUAUGGUGUACUGAUCUUAAACCACCCAGGUGCAUAGUCAGUAGAGAUGUGAUUUUCAAUGAACAGGAAAUGCUUAAGAGCUAUAUGCAGAAGCUUGAAAACUCAGACAAAAACACUGGUGUACUGAGAGAUCAGAUUAAGGUGGAGCUUACUGGAAAUCUGGAGAUACAACUUCAUAUGAGACAUCAGAAGAUGAGGAAAGAGAUGCAGAAGAUUCUGAUGAAAUUUCAGAAAAACAAACAACAUUGCAUGAUUAUCAGCUGGCCAGGGAUAGAGAAAGGAGAGAGAUAAGGGCACCAAAGAAGUAUGCAUAUGCAGAUCUGAUUACAUAUGCAUUAACAGCAGCUCAUGAACUGGAUUAUGAUGAACCUAAAACCUACAAGGAAGCUGUUUCAGGGAAAAAUACAGACCAGUGGUUGAAAGCCAUGAAGGAAGAAAUGGAUUCUUUGUAUAAGAAUGACACCUGGACACUUGUGAAAAAACCAGACAAGAAAAAGGUGGUAGGAUGCAAAUGGGUGUACAAACUCAAGCAAGGUAUCACAGGAGUGGAACCAGUGAGAUUCAAAGCCAGACUUGUUGCAAAGGGCUUCACUCAAAAGGAGGGGAUUGACUUUACUGAGGUAUUUUCACCUGUAGUGAGGCAUGCCUCUAUAAGAAUCAUCUUGUCACUGGUGGCUGUAAACAACAUGCAUUUGGAACAAAUAGAUGUAAAAACAACAUUCUUACAUAGGGAAUUACAAGAGUACAUAGUAAUGGCUCAGCCUGAAGGAUUCACAGUCAAAUCAAAGGCUGAUUGGGUUUGUUAUCUGAAGAAGUCUCUCUAUGGACUUAAACAGUCCCCAAGACAGUGGUACCUCAGGUUUGAUAGCUUUAUGUUAGAGCAGAAAUUUCAAAGGUGUAACUUAGACUGUUGUGUUUACUUCAGAGAAGAUUCAGGCAUGAUGGUUUAUCUGGUAUUGUAUGUAGAUGACAUGUUUAUUGCCAGUGUAAGCAUGAGCUUAAUUGAAAACCUGAAACAGAAGCUUAAAGGAGAAUUUGACAUGAAGGAUCUUGGUCCAGCAAAGAAAAUUCUGGGAAUGCAGCUACACAUGGAUAGAAAAGCUGGCACUUUGUUUCUCAGUCAGGAAGAAUACAUCAGAAGGGUAAUUGACAAGUUUGGAAUGGCAAACUCAAAGCCAGUUCAAACACCCUUAGCCCCUCAUUUCAGAUUAUCAGAUCAGUUGUGUCAAAAAACAGAAGCUGAAAUAUCUGAGAUGAUAAAUAUACCUUAUGCAAGUGUUGUAGGUUGCUUGAUGUAUGCUAUGAUCCUAACUAGGCCUGAUUUAUCCUAUGCUGUGAGUGUUGUAAGCAGGUAUAUGACAAACCCUGGAAAGGAACACUAGAGGGCUGUAAAAUGGAUUCUCAGGUACCUAAAUGGGACAGCAACAUAUGGGUUAAUGUAUGGAGGACAGAGACAAGAUGACAGUUAGAUUGUUGGUUAUGUGGACUCUGAUUAUGCUAGGGAUCUGGAUAGAAGAAGAUCACUUACAGGAUAUCUCUUCACACUCAACAACUGUACUGUCAAUUGGAAAGCUCAACUGUAGAGUGUUGUGGCACUUUCAACCAUAGAAGUUGAAUACACAGCUACUGCAGAAGCAGUCAAAGAAGUCAUCUGGCUGAAAGGAAUGCUUAAAGAACUUGGUGUUGACCAGAGGUCGAUAAUGAUAAACUUUGACAGCUAAAGUGCUAUAUGUCUGAGCAAAAAUCAGACACAUCAUGAAAAGACCAAGCACAUCGAUAUCAAGUUGCAUUUCAUAAAACUAGAAGUGUUGAAAGUAACAGUGAAGUUGCAGAAGAUUCAUACAGACAAGAAUGUUGCAGAUAAGCUGACUAAACCAGUUAUUAGAGCUAAGUUUAAGCUUUACUUAGAUUUAGCAGGGAUCUGUCAGAAUUAAGUGACAGAUAGUUGAAGAGAAGAAUAACAGGUUCAUGAGGGUUUCAAGCUCAAGGUGGAGAAUGUUGAAGUGUGAGCUGUGAAACUGAUUUCCAGAGACUCAUAUGACAUGUCAGUUCAUGAUUGGUACAGAAUACGACUGGUCGGCUAAGAUCAUGCAAAGCCAUACGACAAAGCUGUUUGUUCAUCUAUAUGCGAAUAAGUCAAGCACGUGGUCGUCACAUGCUUACACUUAUUCAAUACGACUUUGCUGAGUGCCGUUUUGGAGCCUUCAUUCAACGUGAAGCAAACACGUGGCUCUGAAGGUCGUUAUGUUCUGUUACAAGAGCGGGAAGAUCUGGUUUUUAUUGACAGAGGAGAGCUGACUGGUGGGGGUAAUUUCUGGGCUCACUUAAGCAUGUAUAUACAGCCUUAAAUAAUGUGGAAUCAGGGUGUGUGAUGCUUGUAACUUCAUCUAAAGACUUGUAUCUUGUUCCUGGUGAUUGAAUAAAGAUUGUUGCUCUGUUCUUCAGUGGAUGUAAGCCAACUCCAGGCUGAACCACUUAAAUCUGUUUUUUUCGUUGGUUGCUGUUCUUUAGUUCCUUUUGUGUAUCUUUUAUUGUUGCUUAAGUAUUUCUUAAUCAAGCAUAAGAGUGUUUAGAUAAAUCUUGGGAAUCUUGGUUGAUUUAAUUUGAUCAAGGUCUAACAGAUCCGAACAAUCAUACUAAUUGAAUCUAAAUUUUAGAAUAUCUUUUGUAUCUUGAAAGAAGAAUUUUCAAAAUUAUGAAGGAAUAUGUCCAUAAAAAUCUAAGAGACAACUCAAUAAAACUUCGUGAAUUUACCUUUUUUAGGGUUUUUUUUCCUUUUCACAAAAUUAAAGAUAAGGGUAUAUUUAUCUUCAAAUGUUGUUAGCGGUAGUAUAUUUUUUAACGAAUCUUAAAUAAAACUUGAAAUCCCAAUAAAUUUCUGUAGAUUAUUACAGUAAAAAAAAAGUGCGGCAAUCUACACUAUCAUUUAUCGAAGGCUUUAUGUACACAAAAAUAAAGAACGAACAAGAACAUGUAAAAUCACUGUAGAUUCGUGGAUUACCUGCCAUCUACAAUCAUAUUAAACUUCUGAUCAUUAAUUUCAUUGUCUAUUACGUUAAAUGCAAACACUAAAUAAAGUCGAUCUAAUUUGUUGAAGACCUAUAAAUUGCAUUAAUAAUAGCCUUUUUUUUAUGUCUCCUUAUCAAUUUCAAUGUAAAUAUUUCCAGCAUCCCCUAUAAACCAUGUACCAUUUCCAUGAUAAUUCAAUAUCAAGAAAACUUCAUAUGAUUUAGCAUAUCACAUGCCCUAUCAAUCAAGGUCAACCUUCUAGACGAACUUUUUUUUUUUAAUGGAAAAGUAAAGCUUUCAUUACUUCAACCCGGUGAAUACAUGUCUAAUCUUAGGUGAGAAAUUUUCCACCCAUACAAAAGAUUCCAACUUUUCCAGUGCUAUUUUAGCUAAAAGAUGGGCACUAGUAUUACAAGCUCUGGGCACAUAUUUUGUUUCGAAAGAACUGAAGGUUUUCUUUAAGCUUUGAAUUUCUGAAAUAGUCCAACAUAUCUAUGUUAAACUCCUUUCUCUAUCGUUUAUCGAAUCUACUACUUCUUGAGAGUCUGUUUCCAGAAUUAUUGAUUGCAUACCCAUCUAAUGGGCUAUUUGCACUCCCCAUUCAGCUGCUUCUGCCUCCACACUUGACACCUCUCCGCUGAACUUUACAUUUCUUAUGCCUACAACUAUGCAUUUUCCAGUAGAGUCUCUUAUUAUUGCACCUAAUCCAGCAUAACUCUUAUUUGAAUCAGUAGCUGCAUCAACAUUGAUCUUUAGCCAUCCAUGGGGUAGGGGAGUCCAAACUGUUUUCUUUGUCUUCUGUAAUUUUUCUUCAUUCGUAAUCUCUGGAAACUAAGUUCUUCUGAAAGCCUUAUUAAUUGCUUUAGCUUUGGCCAUUGAUAAUCUUGGUCUAACUUCAAAUCUUCACAAACAAAUUGGUUUCUAUCAUACCAGAUCACCCAAAGGAUAUUCAUCAUCAUUUCCAUGUCAGCUCUACUUAGCUUCUUCUGUAAUCUCAUUAAGUCUCCUAAAAUAUUAGGAUUUCCCAUUUCCUGAAAGGAACUUGCCAGAGGUGAGAGUUGUCAAACUUUCUUUGCAGCUUUACAAGUAAUCAGAGCAUGCAUGGUGUUUUCCACUCUAUUUCCACAUCGUUUGCAAUAGGCUUCAUGAACAAUCUUUCACUUCCACAAAUUUUCAGCUGUGGGCAAUAAAUUUUUUACUACCCUCUAGAUGAAAAUCUUGAUUUUGGCCGGGAGAGUGAGCUUUCAAAUAAAACUCCAGUUACUACUACUACUGUUAGAGCAAUUAAGAGAAUCUGGAAAUUUUAAAUUUAGAGCCACUUGGUAUCCACUUUUCACUUUAUAUUUCCCUCUUUUAUCGUAGUGCCAGAUUACUUUAUCUUCACUUUGUCUUCUAGGCAAGGGAAUGCUUAGAAUGGCUUCUGCAUCUUCCUUCACAAAGUUCUGCUGAAUCAGAUUUGUCUUCCAAUUAUUUUCGUUAUCUACCAGCAUUGAAGCAUCUUUAUUCUAGAAAGAGGCUUGAAUGUUGAUGGUCUUGGAAUCCAGUUGCCUCUGUACACUGAAAUUUUCUCCCCAUUUCUUAUUCUCUACCUAUAUCCAUUGUGAAUUAUCUGCCUUCUGUUGAGUGUUAGAAAAUGUAUAUUUAUAAAGGAGAAAAUCGUCAUUUUAUACUUCAAGUUUUACUAACAUUCUUACUUUUAUGUAUUUAAGCUUUUUGUGAUUUAAUUAUAUGUACUUUAUUUUAAUUAAGUAUUUUAUAUAUUUUAGGGGCAUCAUGAUCAUUUUACAAUGAACGAUAGCUCAGACGACAGAACGAGAGCUCAGACUUUUGAACUCAGGACAGCCGAAAACUUUAGGAGGAGCAUAAAAAGAAAAAUGGCACUGUUCACAUGCAUGAUACUAUUCACAUGUACGGUACUGUCCAUGUUACUGUUCACACAUACGGAACGAUGACGUGGAAUUGACCGAUGAUGUGGCAUUGACUGAUGAGGUGUCACGAUUCCAUUGGAGAAAAUUCUUAUGCACUAUUGAUCGGUGACGUGGCAGCAUGUUAGUGGACCAAAAAUCGCGCAUACGGUACAAUAGAUUCAUGCGCUUGAGAGUUUAAUAAAAUUGGCACAAUAAGUUUUUGGCGCCGUUUCCGGGGAGGUAAGUUAUUUUAAUUUGUAGAAUUAAUUUUUGCAAAUAAUUUCUUUUAAUUGUUUUCUUGUAAUUUUUUUCUUAUUAAAAAAAAGAGUAAAUCUGCAUUUUGAGGUAAGAAUUUCUUUUCUUUUUCUCUUCUUUAAAUUUUUGUAAUUUAAUUUUCAAGUUAUUUUUCUUUGUAAUUUUUCGUUAUCUUAUUAAUUUAUUUCAUACAUUUUUUUAGUGUUUUUUUAUAGAAAGAUUUUAACAGCGUGAUAAGGUUAGUAUUGUAAUUUCUCCUUAUUUUUAUUUUUAUUUAUUUUGUUUCCAUUUAUUUUUUUGUUCUUUACAUGCAUGGUCGAAAGUCAUUAUUACCUAAUCUUGAACCUAUAGACCUUGAACUUGAAAAAAUAUUUCGCACACACAAAUACGUUAAAAAAAAUAGAUUUGCAACAACAACCAUGACCACAGGAGAUGCCAUUUAAGGACUAUUUCAGUCCCUUAGCUAAUUUGAGCACAUUAUGCAUAAGAUACCCAAAUGUAGCUGCUAGGAAUUUUGAAUUAAAACCUAGUGUGCUAAAUUGUCUCCCAACAUUCUAUGGCCUAGAAAAUGAGGACCCAUAUAAUCAUUUGAAUGAUUUUCAUGCUGUUUGUCAAACAUUUAAAUAUGAGAAUUUUUCAGAUGAUUAUGUUAAACUCAUAUUAUUCCCAUUUUCUUUAAAGGGUAAAGCUCGUUCAUAUCUCAAUACAUUGCCUGCUAAUAGCAUUACAUCAUAGGAAAAAAUGGUAACAAAAUCUUUGAAUAAAUAUUUCCCAGUGCAUAAAACCAAUGUUAUUCACAGGGAAAUCUCAGAGUUUACCCAGAGAGAAGACGAGCAGUUUUUCGAAACAUGGGAGUGAUUCAAUGAGCUACUCUUGAAGUGUCCACAUCAUGGGUACGAGAAAUGACACAAAUGCCAAUACUUUUUGAAGGGAUUAUUGCCGCAUGUGCAAGAAUGGCUAAUGGCAACAAGUGGAGGAGAGCUAAUGUCAAAAAGUGCAUAAGAGAUUUGUGAAUUCUUUCAGCGACAAGCAGAUAAUUCCCAAUAACGGAGUCGAUCGCUCAGGAAUACUAAAAGAAUUAAAGGAGUGAAUGAGGUUAACGUUGGUGAGUCAACUUCAGAAAUUAAAGAAGUCAAAGAAAUGGUUGAAGGUCUCUCAAAAAAUAGCAUCGUUAACGAUUGCUAAAUCAACAGAACCACAUGACCAUGACUUAUAUUCAUAUCAAGACAAUGUCAUAGGUGUAAUGACAAAACCAUCAAAUUACAACCCAUACUCUAACACAUAUAACCCUGGAUGGAGAGUCCACCCCAAUUUUUCAUGGUCUCAAGGAUUCCAACAGAAUGGACCAGCAGCUCUUGCUCCACCAAUGCAACCAAUUCCUCAAGUUCCUCAAACCUCUCAGCCCCCAUUUAGACCAUACUAUCAGAACCAGAACUACUCUCAACCCAGACCAUGGGAGGAUUAAUUCCAGAAUCUCAAGAAUCUUACUCACUCUACGAUCGAGCAACAGAACCGCAUCAUUGUUGAACUACGAAAUGAGAUGAGAGCAGCCUUCAACUCACAAGCCCAAUCAGUUUCAAGCCUCGAGAAGAUGGUAGGACAACUUGCUUCUUCAGUUCGGACUUUGACAAUGACUGUUGAGAAAGACAAGUUUCCAAGUCAACCAGUGCCUAAUCCUAAAAGAGUACAUGAAGCAAGUAUUAAUUCACCACAGCAGCACGGAGAGGUCAAAGCUGUCAUGAACUUGCGAAAAGGAAAAGAAGUCGACAACAAAAUAGAGAUGUCGGUGACGAAAACAAAUCAAAUUGUACCUAUAAAUGUUAAAGACUCACCACCGAAGGAGAAAGAAGAAACCAACCCACGAGAAUACGUUCCGAAAUCUCCAUUUCCUCAUAGGUUAGCUAAGGGAAAAAAAGGAAAAUCCGCCGGUGAGAUUCUUGAAAUCUUCAAACAGGUAAGUGUUAACAUCCCUUUGCUUGAUGCUAUAAAACAAGUUUCAUCUUAUGCCAAGUUUCUUAAAGACCUUUGUACUAAAAAGAGAAACAUUCAUGUUUAAAAGAAGGCUUUUUUAACAGAAAAAGUUAGUUCUAUACUCCAACACAAAAUUCCUCUAAAAUGCAAAGACCCAGGCUCCCCCACUAUCUCAUGUAGCAUAGGAAACCACAUAAUUGAGAAUGCUUUGUUAGAUUUAAGAGCUAAUGUAAAUCUGUUGCCUUAUUCAAUAUUUAUAAAACUUGGACUGGGAGAAUUACACCCAACUCCAGUGGUGUUACAACUUGCAGAUCGGUCUAGAAAAAUAUCUCGUGGUAUUGUGGAGGAUGUGCUUGUCCAGGUAGACAAGUUUUAUUUUCCUGUUGAUUUCAUUGUAAUUGACACUCAACCAAUCCAGGAUUCAAGGAAGCACAUCCCCAUUAUCCUAGGCCGGCCUUUCUUGGCAACUACGGAUGCUCACAUUCAAUGCAGAACAUAAAAUAUGCAGUUGUCUUUUGGCAACAUGACUAUGGAGCUAAACAUUUUCAACAUUGCCAAACAACCUCACAAUGCAGAUGAUGGAAUUGUUGAUGUGGAUUUAAUAGAAACAUUAGUUGAUAAUACUUUUCUUUCAAACCUUAGUGAUGACCUUUUACAAACAUGCUUAAUUCACUUUGGUUUGGAUUUUGAUAUUGACAGAUUGGUCGAUGAGAUCAACGCCCUACUUGACUUAGCACAAUCCAUUGACACAAAUAAAUGGAAGUCAAGAGUUGAACAACUAGCACCAUCAGAGAAGAAACUCAUCCCAUCAUUAGAAUUACCACCGAAACGCGAGCUCAAAUCAUUACCCAACACUUUAGAAUAUGUGUUUUUGGGAGAAGAAAGUACUCUGCUGGUAAUCAUCUCAUUAUCCCUAAACGACGAACAAAAAGGUAAGUUGUUGGAUAUUUUAAAAGAACACAAAGGAGUAUUAGGAUGGACCAUAGCUGACAUAAAAAAUGUAUAAAUCCAGUAGACUGCAUGCAUUAUCUUCACCUUGAUGAAAAUACUAAACCUACUAGAGAAAUGCAACGUCGGUUAAAUCAUAAUAUGAAAGAAGUUGUUAGAACUGAAGUCCUUAAGCUAUUAGACGCAUGUAUCAUUUACCCCAUUUCUGAUAGUUUAUGGGCCAGUCUUGUACAAGUUGUCCCCAAAAAGUCAGAAGUCACAGUAGUUACGAAUGCUGAUAAUGAAUUGAUACCCACUAGAGUGACUACAAGAUGUCGUGUAUGCAUUGAUUAUAGAAAGUUGAAUUCUGUCACGCGUAAAGACCAUUUUCCUUUACCAUUUAUCGAUCAAAUACUUGAUAGAUUAGCAGGUCAUGAAUUUUAUUGCUUCCUAAAUGGCUACUCAUGAUAUAAUCAGAUUCACAUAGCACCAAAAGAUCAAGAAAAUACCACUUUCACUUGCCCUUUUGGCACUUUUGCAUAUAGGAGGAUGCCAUUUGGAUUAUGUAAUGCACUUACUAUAUUUCAACGAUGUAUAUUAAGCAUUUUUUUCUAAUAUUGUUGAACGAUUCCUAGAAGUGUUUAUGGAUAAUUUUUCUCUCUUUGGUGACUCGUUUGAUCAAUGUUUAUAUCGUCUAACACUAGUUCUGCAGAGAUGUAUUGAGAAGAACUUAGUCUUAAAUUGGGAGAAGUGUCAUUUUAUAGUAAAACAAGGUAUUGUUCUCGGUUACAUCAUUUCAAGCAAAGGUAUUGAGGUUGACAAAGUCAAGGUAGAUCUCAUUUAUAAUCUUCCUCCACCCAAAACAGUAAGAGAAGUAAGAUCUUUCCUUGGGCAUGCUAGUUUUUAUAGACGUUUCAUCAAAGAUUUUAGCAAAAUUUCUAGACCCUUAUGCAAUCUACUUGCUAAAGAUGUACCUUUUAUCUUUGAUGAUUCAUGUCUUGUGGCGUUUGAAAAAUUGAAGCAGUUGUUGACAUCAUCACCCAUCAUUCAGCCCCCAAACUGGAGCUUACCAUUUGAGCUCACGUGUGAUGCAUCUGAUUAUACAGUAGGAGCAGUAUUAAGACGAAGAGUUGAUCGACUUCCUCAUGUUAUUUAUUAUGCUAGUAUGACAUUAAAUGAUGUACAUUUGAAUUAUUCAACUACUGAAAAAGAAAUGCUAGCAGUAGUGUUUGCAUUGGAAAAAUUUCGAUCUUAUCUCAUUGGUUGUAAAAUAAUUUUAUUCACAGAUCAUACUGCUCUUAAAUAUUUUCUUAUAAAGAAAGAUGCAAAAGCUAGACUAAUUCGUUGGGUGUUACUUUUGCAGGAAUUCGACUUGAAAUUUAAAGAUAAAAAAGGCACAGAAAAUGUCGUGGCUGACCAUCUCUCUCGUCUCCAUUUUGACACAAUUACAGAACCAUUAACAUUGAAUGAGUCAUUCCCAAAUGAAUAAUUGAUGAGUGUGGAAGUAUUACCAUGGUAUGCUGACAUCGUGAAUUAUCUUGUUACAGGUAAACUUCCAGAGCAUUGGACCAAGCAAGACAAAGGCAAUUUUUUUGUGGAAAUAAAAAAUUUCUUUUAGGAUGACCUUUAUCUGUUCAAGUAUUGUACAUAUCAAAUUGUUAGACGAUGUGUCCCAGAAAGUGAAAUUUAGAAUAUUCUUUCAUUCUGCCAUGAACAAGCUUGUGGAGACCAUUUCAGUGCUAAAAAAACAACUAUUAAAGUUUUACAAUGUGGUUUCUAUUGGCCAACUAUAUUUCGAGAUGCUUACAUUUUUUGUUCUUCAUGUGAUAGGUGUCAACGAAUGGGGAGCAUUACACGAAGGAAUAUGAUGCCACUAAAUUCAAUUUUAGUAGUUGAGAUUUUUUAUGUAUGGGGUAUCGACUUCAUGGGACAUUUUCCCCCUUCUUUUGGCAAUUAAUACAUAUUGGUUGUUGUUGACUACGUACUGAAAUGGGUAGAAGCAAUUCCAUGUAGAACCAAUUAUCACAAGGUGGUGAUAGGAUUUUUGAAAAGCAACAUUGUUUCACGCUUUGGAUUCCCUCGAGCAAUAAUCAGUGAUGGUGGUGCCCACUUUUGUAACAAAGCAUUCAAAACUCUUUUGACGAAGUAUUCAAUCACUUACAAAGUGGCGACCCCAUAUCAUAUACAAACUAGUGGUCAAGUUGAAAUCUCCAAUCGAGAAAUAAAGCACAUAUUAGAAAAAACGGUGAGGUCGGACAUAAAAGAUUGGUCAUUAAGACUCGAUAAUGCAUUAUGGACAUAUAGAACAGCUUUCAAGACCCCGAUUGGGAUGUCACCCUACAGGUUAGUGUAUGGAAAAGCUUGCCACUUACCUGUGGAACUCGAGCAUUGUGCAUACUGGGUCAUCAAGAAAUUCAACUUUGACAUGUAGCAAGCUAGUUCAGAAAGAAGAUUACAGCUGACAGAACUUGAAGAAAUUCGCACCGAUGCAUACGAAACUGCCAAGAUUUACAAACAACGAAUGAAAGUCUUUCAUGACAAGAAAAUUAUGAGAAAAUCUUUCACUCCAGGUCAGAAAGUGCUUUUAUUCAAUUCUCGCUUGCACCUAUUCCUAGGUAAGCUAUGCUCUUGAUGGUCUGACUCAUUUAUUGUUCACACUGUUUUUCCACAUGGGCAAUUGAAAUUAAGGACCCAAAGAACGGUGUCACAUUUAAAGUUAAUGGUCAAAGAUUAAAGGUAUAUCUAGAGUACUAACCACAUGGAGAGAACACCGAAAUAAAUUUGAGUGACCCACCAGAUUUGAAUUGAGUUUUUUUCUUUCUUUUCGAUGAUUUAUUUUUUUAUUUCUUUUUACUAUUCUUUUGCUAAUUGAAAUUAUUUUUGCAUAAGUGUGUUUGUUUAACCAUUAAGUUUUCUCUUAUCAUUGCUAACCAUGAGUGCCAUAGCUAAACAAUUCCUCUUGGACAUUCUUAGACCACUUCAACGUGUAAAAUCUCAUUUCAAAAGGCAGAUUCGAUUUUGUAAAACACAUCAUAUUUAGGCUCUGCAACCACCAGAAUUAGUAUCCCAUGUUGAGGAUUUAGAAAGCCAACUUAGAGACAUUGAGAGAGGUGUCUACAAGGUAAAUUCAAUAAGAGGACGAUUGUAAUUUUCUUUAUGUGUUUUAGCUUAUUUUUCUUUGUUUGUGUGCUUUAGUUUGUUACCCCGAUGAAGUGUCAGAUAACGGUACUCCGUGACAAUCAAGUCGGUUACUUCAGUUUCUCAUAAUAACUGAUCUUCUGAGGCAAAUGUAUGGACAGAAACGAGAUUCUAGCAAAUCUUCAUAAUCGAUUCCUUUCGCUUCCUCAGAAUGCCCUCCUUACAAUCUAUAAAGCUCGGUCUGAACGCAUGCGAUUGCUGAUGAGGAAUAACAUACCUACUGACAUCCGCUGGUUAAUCGAGGCAAAAGUACAAGUGGCAGGUGAGUUGCCUCCUAAAUUUAUUGCAUACAUGCCUAGUUGUGGUAAAGGAAAUUAUGCAAGAAAACGAAGAGGUCGAAGAAUUUUAGUUGCUUGCAUAAGUGUGCCAGAAUGAGAUGCAAUAAAAAACCAUGUUCUUUAGGAAUUGUGUCUGAUAAUAGAGAAGAUAAGAUUAAAUUCAUUACAGAUGGCUUGAAUAAUGAGUCAUUAGAUGAUAUCCUUUUGUCUUUUGAAACACACCCCAGUGGAUAUGUACAAGGAGCGAUUCUCCAGCUAUAACCAUUAUUCCAGAAAGAGAAUACACGAUAUAGUGUCGGGAAUCUAACUAUAAACGACCAUGUUUGCCAGUUUAUAAGAAAAUUGGAUGGGAAGCCUAUCCUCGACCUAUAGAGGGCGUUCAAGCCGUUUUUGGACGUAAAACCAGAGGAAGAUGUGAGCCACAGUCGCAACUACCUGUAAAUAUCUUUUUACUUCACUGUUAUUUUACUUCACUGUUGUUUUAUCAUUUGCAUUAUUGUCUUUAAUAAUUUUAUUUUAUCAUUUUUUCUUUUUACUGUUUGCUUUUUGACUCUCAAACCAGGGCCGGCUUUAGAGUUUGAGGGGCCUUCGGCGGAAUUUUUUUAUGAGACCUCUAUUAUUUUAUAAUUUUAAUACUCAAAGACAUAUAAAAAGAAUUUAUUUCAUCUUUAAUUCUUGAAUUUCAACAAUAAUAAAAAAAUCAAAAGUUUAAAAAAUAAAACCUAAAAAAUAGUCAAGAAGAUUGAUUUUUUUAUUCCAUUAAAACCAUUAAAAACAAACAAACAAAUAAAUAAAAAUAAUUUUAUUUUCAAAUAGAAUAUUUAGAAUGAUAGAAUAUAAAAAUUUUAAAAUGACGAGUUGAUGUUCAAAAAUAAAAAUGGACUUUAUAUUUUAAGAAACUAAGUAUUUUAAAUGAACCAAUGAAUAUAAUAAUUUUAUUUGUAGAGAAGAGAACAAGAAAUUUUUUUCAUUUACUAAUUCUUGAGAUUAUGAGGUUUUUAAUAGAAAUUAAAAGAAAUAUUAAAAGUCAAAUAUGCUAAUAUUGAAUAAUUGAAAAGGAAUGAAGGUUAAAGAAUACUAUUAAUUAUAUUUCUUUAAAAUUAAGGUUCCCAAAUGUAGAUUUUUUAUAAAAAAUAAUUCUUCGUUAUAGAAUAAUUAGGAAUAGAGAGAUAUCUAAUAAACUUUUUGAUUUCUUGAAAUACGUAUUAAAAAUAUUUUAUUAAUUAGAGAAUUAUUAAAGAAAUACUCAAAAAAUGAGGCUUUCUUAAAAUAUGAGGCCUUAGGCGACGGCCUUGUUCGCCUAUACCUAAAGCCACCCCUGUCUCAAACCAUGUGCUUUACGCAUUAAUUGACAUUGACAUGCUACCUCAUAUAUAGCUAUGACCCACUGUCACCAAGAUUCUUAAAUAUAAUUUGUUUUGUUUAGCACUCUCAAAUUAUUUUUGAGAAGUAUCCCAAUGGCAGCUACUCCAAAUAAACAAUUCAAGAAUAUUUGUGUGCUUUCUGGAUUUAAUUAUGGCAAACAUAAAGAGUUCAUUGAGGCAGCCAUAGAUCUUGGUCGAAGCAUAGCAGAGAGAAAACUACAAUUAUGGCAAACAUCUUGGGCCCAUCUGCAUAUUCACCAAAAACUCAUCGGUUUGUUAAAUGUUAAUAACUUUUAUGAUGGCUCUAUCGCAUUUCUUAACCAUGCAAUAAAAAACUAAUUUAUUCCUUCCACAGCGAAAAAGUUUUUUAUUUGUGCUCAUACUGCUAAUGAGGUACUUGAUCUGUUACAAACUUAUCGACCAGAGCCAGAUCCCAGGACCUUGGUGUUGGAGUAUCCAAAUAAUGAUGGUAACAGUAGCCGCAGUAAGAAGUACAAAUUAGAUUUAACUCUCCGCCUGUAAAUAUUUUCUUCUGUGUUACACCACCCAGGUGAUGUCUUCUAAACUCUACUUCUUUCCUUUAAAAUAUUGAGGACAAUGUUUCGUUCUGAUUGGGGGGAGGGAAUAAUCGACAAUUGUGGAAUCUUGGUUAAGUUUUUACUAAUUUUUUGUUGUAGAGACUAACUGUAGCUAACUUUUUGUGUUGAAGAUGGCUGAAUAUGGAAUGUAAUUACUCUAGAAACGAAUUUUCUUCGUUUAAAAAAAAACAAAAAAAUAAUAAUAAUAAUGUUGUUUGAAAAAAAAUUGUGUGAUUUGUUUUAACAUUGGAUGACAUGAUGAAUUUUAAAAUUUAGUAUUUGUAUUAUCUUUGGUCUUAAGAGAUGUUACGCCAUAUUUGCUACUCUACAUGUUGAUGUCGAAGACAAAUAUGAGUUGCUUGAAGGAAUAAACAUGUCAUAAUAAGUACCAAGUGAGUUUUGGAACCUAUCAUUUUUCUUGGAGAGUAACCAUUUUGCUCAUUCUUCAUACAACUUAGUAGUUUAUUAUUUUAUACACGAUCUCUAGAUUUCUUUUGAAUUAACCUUUAAAACAAAUUGAAAAAUUAAAAAAAAAAAGAAAAAAAUGUGUGUUGCUACAUCUAGAGGCUCAUCUAACUAGUAGACAUGGAAGAUUAUUUAGAGCUUUAAAAGACGAUGGAAAGACCAUCUUUGAUCCGUUUGAGCCUUUCUAGCUAUCCCUUUUAUGAAAUAUUCAUAGUUAACCCUUUUGAGCUUUUAAAAAAAAAUUUUUUUUUGGUCAAACUUAUCAUCUUGACUCACUCCGAUUUGGAGUAUUACCCGAUAUCUUACAAGUUCCAUCACCUAUUUAUUUUGAGAAAAAUAUAAAUAAUCAUGUUGUUCAGUGAAGUUGUGCCAAACAAAAGCAAAACAAAAAACAAAAACAAAUUGUUGUUUCAAAAAAAAGAAAAAAAUAACAAUAAUAGGUGAAAUCCACCUUGCAACUUCAAAAAAAAAAAAAACUCUAUAUUUUUCUUAAACAUACACUUUGUUUUCCUUAUUUCCCCUCCUUUGUUAGCCAUAUCCUUAGCCUACGUCACGUCUUAAUAAAAGACCUUCUUGAUUUUAAGGAACUAUAAUCUGAAGUAGAAGCUAGUUAUAUGGGCUAAAAAGAUAUAGUGAUGAAUAAAAAAAAGAUAAAAAUAAAUAAAUUGGGUUUACUAGCAUUUUUAUUUGACUUGAGAUCGUAUUAUUUUUAAGUUGAGGGUAUAUUUCUUUCAUCUUGUUGAAAGCGUGUGAUAUCACUUCUUUAUUAUUUUCUCUCAAUUACCAUUCAUUGGAGUGACUAUUUUUAUUGGGUUUAAUUUCUUUGUGAGAGUGUCACUAUUUCCAAUGAGAUUUUGGGGUUUAACAUGUCAUUCUUGAAAGUAGCUAUGACAAAGUCUACUGGGCAGAUUCAUGGGGAUGGUUGAUAUGUGUGUGAUGUUUCUUUAGACUGGAGAUAAUGCUUAUACUUUUAUUUGAUUACUAUCAUUAGUCUGAUUGAAUAAACAUGAUUGUUUAAAAAAAAAUCAUUUUGGAUUUGAAUUUUUUUUUCGCUUUAUUUGCUAGGGACUAGCAAUAAGCUGGUUGGGGGAUGUGUUGAGUGUUAGAAAAUGUAUAUUUAUAAAGGAGAAAAUCGUCAUUUUAUAUUUCACGUUUUACUAACAUUCUUACUUUUAUGUAUUUAAGUUUCUUGUGAUUUAAUUAUGUGUGCUUUAUUUUAAUUAAGUAUUUUAUAUAAUUUAGGGGCAUCAUGGUCAUUUCACAAUGAACUAGAGCUCAAACGACAAAACGGACAUCACUUUUGGACUCAGGAUAGUCGAAAACCUUAGAAGGAGUAUAAAAAGAAAAAUGGCAUUGUUCACAUGUACGAUACUAUUCACAUGUACAGUACUGUCAAUGUUACUGUUCACGACACUGUUUACACAUACGGAACGAUGACGUGGCAUUGACUGAUGAUGUGACAUUGACUGAUGAGGUGUCACGAUUCCAUUGAAGAAAAUUAUUAUGCACUGUUGAUCGGUGACGUGACAGUAUGUUAGUGGACCAAAAAUCACGCAUACGGUACAUGCAUAUACACAGGAUUAUUUUCAAUCAAAUUGCAUCACUGUUCAAGCCGGUUGACUGUUCAAACCAUGUGGUCAACCCGUGUCACUGUUCAAACCGCGUACUGUUGACUGAUGACGUGGUGCAAUCCUGAGCGUCCAAAUUGUUUUUACUCUAAUGGCCAUGAUUUACUCAAUGUAUCUAUAAAAAAAGGGCCUCUCCCCCUAAUUGGACAUCUCUGAAUUCAUUUUUGAGCUCAAUUUUCUCUAAUUCCUUCUCCAUCUUGUAUUUUCUAUGUAUUUUAAUAAAUUUCCAUUUUGCCCCUAGUUCAAUUAUGAGUAGCUAAUUUUCUUUCAAGCUUGGAUUGAAGGUGAAGUCUCAACAUGUGCCAUAAGCUUUAUUUGGUAAAUUUAUUUUCUCUUUCCCUCUAAUUUUUAGGAAUGUUUUGACUUUUCGUCGACAAAUAAUAAUAAUCUUAUCUAAAUACUGUCCUGGUUUCACCGGCUCCCUAGUACAAGUUAUUAUUAUUUGGCACGAUAAGCCCUUAGCACCAUAUUGAUUAGAGUGUGGUUCAUGAGGUGUGGAUUCCCCCUCAUGAUUUAAUUGGUGCUAAUAAGGAAUAUUUAGCUCAUGAUGCAUGUUGAUACGGAUCCAGAUACUCAAGUGCUUCAUUUCAAUAGAUUUCUCUUCAAUUUAUUCUGGCCAUUUUAAUUUAAAUUUUAAAAUAUUUCAAAUCAUUUUCACUACAAAUUCAUCCACCGAUUUGGAAAAUUAAUUCUACAUACAAUUAAAAUCAACCUCCUCGUGGGAUCGACACUCGUCACCAUUGAUAUAUUCUAUAAUAGAUUCGUGCGCUUGCGAGUUCAAUAAAAUUUGCACAACACUUUUCCCACAUUAUGCUCCUCCAAAUAUAGGAUGGAUUUGACCUUAUGGAAGCUCUAAGAAAAUCAGUCAUUGGGAAAUACCUUGCCUUUAGUACUUUAGCUGCUAAGGAUUCCGGAUUUUGAAUUAUUCUCCAACCUUGUUUCGUAACUAAGGCUUGGUUGAAACUUGAUAUGUCUCUGAACCCCAUCCCUCCUCUAAUCUUGGCUCUACUCAUUUCCUCUCAUCUUGUCCAGGGAAUGCCUCUCUUUUCUUUCUUCUUGCUCCACCAAAAACCAGCAUUAUUUCUUUGAAUGUCAUCACAAAGCCCCACGGGAAUCUUAAAGACACUCAUAGCUUAAGCUGGUACAACUUGUGCCACAACUUUGAUCAAGACUUCUUUCCCCCCACUCGAGACGAGUUUUUGCUGCCAAUUAGAUAUCUUGCUCUGAAUUUUCAGUUUGAUCUCAUUGAAAAAAGUCUUUUUUUUUUUCUCCCGAUCAUAGAUGGUAGCCCCAGAUAUUUCUCGUGUCUUGAAAUCACAUUGAGCUGGAAAAUUCUUUUAAUGUCUGAGGCCUGCUUUGCUGGAGCAUUUCCACUAAAAAACAUGCAUGACUUAUUAUAAUUGAAGAUUUGCCCAAAAGCUUUAGCAUAGCACUCAAAGAUGUUUUUCAAGUGCUGGCAGUCUUUGGUUGAAGCUUGAGAGAAAAUCAAGCUGUCAUCUGCAAAUAAAAGAUGAGAAAUGGAUAUUUAUUGCCCAAAUCUCAGCCCCUAAAUUUAUUUUUUCCUCUCAGCUUGUAUCAAUAAAUUUGAAAAUGCUUCAGCACAUAUUAUAAACAAAUAUGGGGAUAGAGGGCAGCCUUGCCUCAAACCCCUUUGAGGGGGUAAUCAUCCCCUGAGGAACUCCAUUGAUGAUUAUAGAAAAGGUUGGAGAAGUAAUACAAUUCAUUAUCAUAUUAACGACCUUCUCCUCAAAGCCUAAUCUACCCAUUGUCAACCUUAAAAACUCACAUUCCACUCUGUCAUAAGCUCUACUUAUGUCUAACUUCAGAGCCACCAAUCCUUUUUUUUUUCCUUUGCUAUGUCUAAUCUUGUGAAGGCAUUCAUACCCAACAAUGAUAUUAUCGGUUAUCAAUCUGUUGGAAAUGAAUGCGCUUUGAGAAACAUCAAUGACAUCAUGCAAAAUAAUUUUCAAUCUAUUUGCCACUGUUUUGGCAAUGAUUUUAUAGAUUACAUUGCAAAGGCUUAUUGGUUUGAAUUCCGUCACUUUCCUAGGCUUGGCACACUUUGGAAUUAGAGCAAUAUAGGUGUGGUUUAACGGGGUAAUUGUACUUGUGUUAUUAAGGAUGUGAAGGCAUAUAGAGAUAACUCCUUCCUUUACCUAUUUCCAAUGCUUCUGAUAGAAAGCAGCAGGUAACCCAUCAGGUCCAGGAGCCUUAGUUGGACACAUUUGAGCCAGGGCUUCUAUAAUCUCCUCCUUUGUGCAGGGCUGACUCAUGUCUGUGUUCAUUUCUGGUGACACUUUUGGCCUCAUUCCUCUUAGAGCAUCUUCCAUCUGAUCUUUGGUGGGGUUGGAAGUUAAAAAUAAGUCUAUAAAAUACUCACAAAAUUGUUUAGCAAUUUCACCAGUCUCUUUGAUCCAAUUACCGUGAGCAGCUUUUGUUCUCCAUAUUUUAUUUUUUUCUCUUUCUAGAUGAGGCUUUGAGAUGAAAAAAUUUUGUGUUUUUAUCUCCCUCUCUAAGCUAAUCCACCAUGGACCUCUGCUUCCAAUAAAUCUCUUCAUCCAGCAGGAGAUGGUGGAUCUGUCUUUCAAUACUUCUUAAUUCUUCAUUACUUUCAUACCUCCAUUUGUGCUGCUGAAGGUCCUUGAUUCUGUUGACCAGCUUUUCAAGCUUCUUUUUAUUGCCUUCAAAAGCCCUUUUGCUCUAGUGUAUGAGUUUUGCAAGCGAAGCUGUGCUGACAUGCUUAAAGAGCUUAACUACAUCAGUCCCCUCCCACUUACCAUGCUUGGACCAUUCCUCCUCAACAAUUUCUUGGCACUCAUUAUAAGAGCUCCAUAAAUCCUCGUAGUGAGUUCGAGAGAAACAUUUCCUCUUGUAUGCCCUUAUUUAUCUUUGCUCUUUACAGCCAUUAAUAUUGGGUUGUGAUCAGAACACGAUGUAACUAAAUUAGUUGCAGCUUGGUCCUGGAAGAAAUUUGACCAAUCGUUGCUGCACAUGAAUCUGUCUAAUUGUUCCUUAAUGAAGUGGGUUCCAAACCUCCUAUUGGACCAUGUGAAUGGGUAACCAUUGCAACCCAAAUCUCUAAGAUUACAAUCCUGGACAGCUUCUCUAAAAUCUGUGAUCAUACUAAGUUCCCUAUCGUUCCCCCCAUUUUUCUCAUUAAAGUGCAUAAUUUCGUUAAAAUCACCGAAACAAAGCCAUGGGGAUGAAGACAAACUUGCUAGCCUUCUUAGUAGAGUCCAUGUGUGUUUUUUCUGGUUUGUUUCUGGAUGGCUGUAGAUCCCAGUGCAUCUCAUCUGAUCUCCAUUUUCAGUUACUAUCUCUGCAUUAAUGUGGUGGCUGCUGAAGGAGGUGAUAUUCACAUUUGUUUCCAAAGUCCAUAACAUAGCUAAACCCCCACUCUUUCCCUUACUGCUCACUGCAAAACAAUUUUCCAUCUUUAGCUUUCUGCCAACAUUAUUCAUGCGUACAGUCUUCAGUUUAGUUUCACACAAGAAAAUCAACUGAGGCCUGUAUAAUUGGAAGAACUUUUUCAGAGCUAUGAACGUCUGGUCAUUCCCCAACCCCCGGACGUUCCAACUCAAGAUUUUCAUGGUUGUCGGCGAGGCUGCUCCUCAGCCUCCGCCGAUUGAAUUGCUGCAUGGUUGGUUUGUUCCUUGUCCACUGCAUCCAAAUCCUCCCAGUGAAGCUUGUGUUUAUGUGGAAGCCGAUUGUAAGUGUUGGCUUUAGCUACAGUAAUUUUGUGGGGCUUUGAAUUCUGGUUUUUUACACUUUGGGCUUGGCUUUGGUGAUUCCCCCCCCCAGCCUUUUUCCUCCAAUUGAUCCGUAUUUUGUGUGCCCUUUUUUAUUUACAUUUUUAACCUGAAGUUUCCAUUUUCUUCGUUUGAGCCUAGCAUUUUUUGUUCCUGGCCCCUCAUACACCACCUCAUCUUUUCUAGGGCUUUGACUAGAAAUUGUAGUUGACUCUAGAUUUGGCGCCACGCUCAAAUUGGUUCCCUCCCUAUUUUCUGUUCCCGCUUCUUCUCUCUGUUUCUCAUAGCCACUUGGGCUGUCAGUUAUGUUUACAGCAGUAGCUGUGCUGGAUUACUUCUGUACAUUCUCAUGCUGCUUCCUUGGUUCCAGCGUCAUUUGUAUUAAUUGCUCACCUGUCUUUAUUGUUUGGCUUUCAUGCUCACCCGAAUUUGGUUGGUUUAACCCGAGUUUGUUUUCAUCUGGAUCCAGGCCAAUAUGAUGUGGCUGACUUCUCCUCUGGCUCUCUAGCUCCGUGAGGCCAUUGUUUUGUUGCUCCCCCCUUCUAUUCCAUUUGUCUCUGCCUCAGUUUAUUCUGGUUUUUUCUGCUUUUGAUAGAGCCCUCAUAUAAACCCCGUAAGGCAGAUUUUCUUUUGAUUGCCCUUCAUAUAAUACACAUUCUUUGAACUGAUGCCCAAUAAUACCACAACAGAAGCAGAAGUCUGGAAGUCGUUCAUACAAGCCCGGCAAUUCCACCUCAUCGUUAUCUUCCAACUCCAAGAAUACCAUUUUUUCUAAUGGUUUUAUAAUGUUGAUGGAAAUUCUGACUCUCGCAUACGGACCAAUGCAUUCCCCAUCAUCAUAUGUUUCCACUUCCAGAACCUCUCCUAACAACUCCCCCAGUUUUUGAACAUUUUCCCGAUCCAUACAUACUAUAGGCACAUUAUGAAUUUGCACCCAAAAAGCUGCAUAUGUAAAUUCCUCCUUUCUCAUGUUUCCAAUCCCACUAGGUUCCUUUAGCACAAUCAACGAUCUGUCAAAAUGCAAGGUCCUCCUGCCAUCACCUUUCUUUUAUUUGUUUCCAAACCAAACUUAAAAAGAAAAAUAUUGUUUCCCAAGCUUUCAACUUUCACCUCUUUUAUUGUUCUCCAUGCUUGUGGUAAGGCGGUUUUGAUUCCUUCUGUUUGUAUGCUCCGUGCCAGCAGAACUUGCCCACUAGAGAGUUUGCAAUUAUGCGUCCUCCUUGCCCUUGUGUUCCACCCCUGAGUGAUAGUUUUCUUUCAUUGCCGUCUCGUAUGGAGAUAGCUUUGCAUUUCCUUAUUAACUCCUCAGUAUCCAUUGGUAUUGAAUACAUCAACUAACCUCCACCUAUUUACUACCCUGAGUUUUCCAGUAUUUUUUGCCUACUCUCACUUUUAUAAAUGCACUUCCCUAAUGACACUCUCUGAAAAGGUUCAGAACCAAUCACUCAGUCUAAUGAGUGAAGAAUAGAGCCAUUAAAGCUCAAAAUAUACUCCAUUCUUUUGCUCUCUUUCGGAGAGAAAGAGAGCAUUCAACCUUCUGGACGAACUUGUACUUGUAGGAUUGAUUAUGAGAAUGAUUAAAUAAAUUAUCUGUUAAUGUGAAAGAUUGUAAAGUAUUGUUCUGCUAUUAUUGGCAGCAUGUGCCUAUGUCAUAUGAAAUAGAAUCUGUACUUUAUAUGUACUUCGAAAUAUUAGUUGAUAGAAUUCAAAGUAGGAGCAAAUCACGGCAACCAGUAAUGAAACUUCAUGUGGGGCUCCAACGCAUUAACGAAGAAAUUUGUGUGGAAAUACAAUACUUGAGGUUUGGGAAAUGCUUGGACAAAGGGACACUUCUCGCGGCUAAUUUGGUGGCCUUAUAACGUGGCUUUCUUUUUUAUUUUUUCUUCCUUCGCUUUUGUCUUCAAAUUCAAUAUUAAAGUCAUUAUUUGCGUACUGAUCUUUUUGAACUAACUCAUUCUAUAAAUAUCCUAUUCAGUCUAUUUGCUUCUUCAUCAUAGAAAAAAUGGCUUUGUUUCUCUUUCUUUGCUUUGCACUCAUUUUCUCAGCUCUAAGCAAUGGUGGCUCUGCUACCACUCGAGUUAUUCGUCCUCCUCGAUAUCUUGACAGUAAGCAUUUGUCGGAUCCUUAACUUUUGCUUUUUUUUUUUUUUCAUUUUAUAGCACAUACAAAACCUGUAACACAUUUGAUUAUGUAUUAAUUUGCUAAUUAAGCUACCGUUUGUACACGGAAGUAAAAAAUAAAAUAAAAUUAUAAAUAUAUAUAUGACGUGUGCUGUUUUUACAAAAAUAAAACAAAAAACAGCCGGUUGCUUAUUUGGCUCCUUUAUUGGAGGAUAUUAUGUCACAUCGGCUGAGAAUAGUUAUUUAGUUAAUUAUUUAAAUUUAGGGUAACCCUGGACUCUUGAACUAGUUUCUUAAUCUAAGUUAAGUAAAUGGGGAUUAAAUAAUCUUAUAUUGAGUUUCUUUUUUCUAAUUGUUUGUGUAGUCGAUGUGUCUUGCCAUGUAAUUUUGGCCAUUUGAGUGAGAUUAAUGUUGUUCUUCUAAUUCAAGAAAGAAACAUCUAUUGUUUAUGCGGUAAAAAUCUUAAUUUUAAAAUAAAAACACACAUAAUAUCAGUGACUUAUUAUUCCACCGAAGUUAUAUCUCUGAUGUUCAUAAAUUUUUGGUCUAAAAUGUAUUUUAAUCUGCAGCACUUCUGCCAAAUGGAAACUUUGAACUCUCACCGAAGAAAUCAAACCUCAACAAAACGGUGAUACUCGGAAAGUGAUUGAUGCGCAUGGUAUGUAUUCUCAUAAAAUAUCGAAAUAUUGUACACGCAACCCAAAAAGUGAUAACAUCUGAAAGAAAAACAAUUAAUAAGGCCCUGACCUGGCUGUGGGUUUGUGUUCUCAAGUCUCAACUUUUGUUGAGGACACGAUUUGGAGUGGAUUCAACUAUUUCGCCAAUAUGGGUAAAGUAAAUGAGUAAUGACAAAAGUCAUAGACAAUUUUAAAUAAAUUGGUAUGUAUAAAUUGAGAUAAUAUAAAUAGAUUGGUUAAAAAGUGAUAAUAGUUUUUUUUUUAAACUAUAUAGGUCCAUAAUGAUUUUAUAUACUUAUUUGUAUAAGAUAGUUGUAUCUCUAUCAUUAUUCUAUUACAAAUAUAUGUAAGUAGCAUUAAUAAACUUUUGGUCUAUACUAUAAAUUUAUGUAUUUAGAUUCUCUGUGAACUUCAUAUUAUAGUAUCUAUAGAAUGCAACCAACCAAAUUAAAAGACAUUGUAUUAAACAUUUUAUUUGAGGAAAAAAGUUCUCUCUCCAAAUUUUUGGCAGAUGUGCAAUGAAUUUCCUUUAAAAAAAAGAACAAAAAAAAAAAAGAAAAAAGAGAGACCCAACCAAUAAUCUUCGAAAUCCUAGAGACUAUAAAAUAAGAUCAACAAGCAAAGAAGCCAAAAUACAAAUAAAAUUCUCACUAGGCAACCAAAAUAAAAGAAAGAAUAUAUUCAGAUAGAAGAUACAGAUUUAAAUUGUUAUGAUUCCAAUCACAUUAAAAAUGUAGGAUAGACAAUAUUUUAUAAUUAAGAGAUCAAAUGAUCAGGAUACCUUUAUCAGUUAAUCUCUCUUUUUUUUUUUUUUUCUUUCCUGUUCCCACUUGAACUUAAGCCCAGUGUCUGUGGUACAAUGUAUUUUGCUAGUGUUUACUAUAUUUACAGUCAUGAAAUGCAUAUGUUAUUGAAGUGAAAAAUGUGAAAGAUUAAAAUUUUCUUCAAUAUUUUGAUUUGCGGACCGAAUACUCUCAGAAUAAAUCUGUGAAGAAUCUUGUAUUUGCGCAGCAUCAAAAAAAUUAAAAGAAAGGGUUUAAAAAAGAAAAGGUAACUUGGAUAGGAAGGAAGAGAAAGGAAAGUGAGAAUGUGAAGGCCAAGAAACAUGGAGAUAACCUAUUUAUACGAGUGUGCAGUCUCUCCUUCUCAUUCUCAAAGCCAAAAUCUCUUACAUUAUCCUUUUUCUUUCACCUGGGUUUCUUCUAAAACAAAAGUCACCUCUCUGUCUCUAUUCUGUUGUCUCAAAAUUGAGAUAAGUGGUUAGCAGGGAAAAUUGUUGUAAUCAGUUUUGACAGAUAAUACAUUCUUUUCUUUCAGAAUUUGCAUGAAUUUGCAUGUUUAUUUAAUCCUUUUUUUUCAUACGUUACCUUUUGUUUGCUGGUUUUAGAAUUUGAUUAAAUGGUGGUUUCGUAAAUUUAAUUGAACAGUUUACUUCCUGAUGUUCUCCUGUGAAGUAAGGAUUAGACAAAAUAUCAAAGCAACCUCAAAAAACAUAACUGAAAAAUAGGCCUCGCCCGUGAAGUCAAGAGAGUAUACCACCUGUUUUCGAUGUUUCUCGAGGUUAAAGUCGCGUGAGACCAAAGAGAACGAGGAUACCAAAAAUUCAUCUGUGAGUGUUUACCAAAGUACUUCGAGGCUCGAGCUAAAGACAUCAAUACUAGACAGAGUCUUAAACAUGCCUUGCAGUGGCAGAUGAAUUUUGUAACUUGUCUCAAGUUCGGUUUCCGUACAAUGGUAAAAAAAAAAAAACACGUUGGGGCACCAUUUCAUUACAGGUGUAAUUCAUCAAUAAGUUAAAAGAGUAUAAUCUUUUGAUUUAUGUCGAAUUGAUUGGUGCUAUAAGAACCUUUAUUUGAUCAAUGGAUUUACGGGCACCCAUCUUUUUCAUAGUUGAUGUGGAAGCUUGUUUGAAAUCCGCUGUUCUCUUCCUGUAGUUGCAGAGUCUUCUUUACGAACAGACUCAGAUGUAAGAUUCAACACCUCACAACUUCAUUUGAACAAAACCACCCUUGAAUGAACCAUAGAGAGGUUGUGAUCUUCUGAAACUGAAAAUAUCAUCUAUGUGAACGAUGUGAGGCUCAGCUGAUUCACUAGUUUCUUCCUUCAACUCAGGUGCAUGCAGGCUCCCAUACACUCGAACACAUAGUGUCUUCUUCCGCGGUGCACCAGCUUUAAUAUUCUCGUUGAAAAAGUCAAUCAAUUCUUGUUGUGUCAGCUGCUUCAGUGCUGCAACCUGUUUGAACACUAAUAUUGUAUAAACCAACUACUUCAUAAUAUAAGUACUCAACUACAAGUGAAAAAGAUAAUUAUAAUUUGCUCAGGCCCCUAAGAAGGUUUACAGAGAGCAGAGGCUGCGUUCUUCAUGUCUCUUAGUUUACCUUUUUCUCCAAAAUAAAUUGAAAAUGAAUCUUCAAACAUACAAAAGUCUUAACCUGACUUGGUGAAAAAUAAAUAAAUAAAUUGAUAGUAAUUCCCAUACCUCAGCCUCCCUCCGAUCAAACUUGAGGGUCCCAUCAGAAAUCUCACGCCAGUAAAAUCCAGAUUCUUCCUUUAAAUUCUUGUGUUUCUCAAGCUUCAUAUCAAUCAAUGCAUUUACGUUGUUCUACAUGAAAAAAAUGCCAUUUUCACUGUUAAGGAGCCAGGCAUUUAUCCAAAAACACUCAUAUAAACAGAAUAUCUAUCUGGGAUCAUCAAGAAAAUAAUAAUUUCACAUAAAAGAAAAAAGUGGUUGAGACUGGGACAAUAGAUGCAAUUACAGAAAAAUUGGUAAGGAAUAUUAUCUCCUUUAAUAUCACCAAUCUCUUUCUUUGUACUUAAUGUAGUUCCAUUGCAUUUCAAGACUAGGAUAUGACAAAAUGAUGAUAAAAAGAUGGAAUAAUAUCAUAUUUAUCUCAUAUUAAUAGCAACUGUAAAAGCCUUGGCAUAUGUAUAUAAGCAUUAUCAAAUUAAUUCAUGCAGUUAAUAGUCUAGAAUUAAGAUUAGGGAAGUACUUUCUCUAUUCAAAACAUGUUAUCCAAAUGAUUCUUUUGAUAAUUCUAUUGGUAAAAGAUUUGAGCAUCAAACUUGAGCAUUACUGAUAUAAUAACUUCCAACCUUCUGUAGUGUUUAUAAAAACAAUCUCAUCAGUGAAAACACAGAGCAGAAUAACUCAUGUAGAAUAGAAAUGUGCGUUUCACCUUGAAUUGGUCACUGGUCAUCUCAUAAAGUUUACUUUCAAACAUCUGGAGGAAUGAUUCAACUCUCAGAUCAAUAUACUUCGGACCCUGUUAAAUUGACAGAGCACUUGAGGCAAAGCGACAAUAAUGCUGUCAAUGUGCAUAUUCAAAGAACAAAACUAUGCUAUCACCUUUACUGAGGAUUGAAUGAUGAACUGCACUCCAUGGAUACCAAAAUCAUUCCUACAUCAAGUAGAUAGCUAAAUUUAAAGCAAACACUCCAAGCUGAAGGAGAACUAGGGACCUCAAGUUAUGUACCUCUGCAGGAGUGCUGUAAUGUACCCAAGUUGCUCAACGGUUCUAAGCUGGUGGAAAGCUGGUUGUUUUGCAAUAAGAGCAAGAAGCUGAAGUUUCACAUUCAUAAGGAAAUCAUCUCGAUGAACCUGAACAACUCAACAUGACAUGACAUCAGAAUCGCAUCAGACCCCCCACAGAAACAAAUGGUUUGGUCAAAUAGAGAUCGAGAAACAUGUAAAAGAUUUUGUGUGACUUGUACAUCUAUUAUCCCUGUUGCAUGGGUACCAAUAACCUACAUUUCAGAAUCCAUGCCAGUUUGUCCCAAAACCAUAUAAUUCUAAAGCAACAAAACAAUAUUAACUCCAUGAAUCAAGGAAUGCUCGAGGAAAACCAAUGUCGCUUAGCACAAGAUAUAUAUUUUCAAGAAAUUGGACACAAAACUAUUUCUUUCAGAGCUUAAGUUCGGAGCCUCAUCAACAUGCAUAAAGAACAGUUGGAUGACAUGUAAUUCACUUAAAGUAAUGGCAAAAGCAACAUAUAAAUAGAUCUCAUCACAGUUUGUGCUGUCUGAAAGUAAUGGCAGACAUCAACACAUAAAUAAUACACACUGUAUGUUUGUCUUAAAAGUAAUGGCGAAAACAUUACCAUAAUUAUUCCUUAAUCACAGUUUGUUCAGUAGUUUAGGGUCUUAGCUGAAUAACCUAAUCAUACGGACAGUAAAGAGGCAAACCACUGUUCAUCAAGAAAUGACAGCCCAAACAAAGCCAUUUUAAAGCAAAAACCGCCCUACACCAUACGCGGGGGUCAAUUCACCGUGAAAAGACGGAAAAAGGCUCAACUACUUGCUAAUCUCUUUUUUUUUUCUCUCUCCUUUUUAGCCCCCUUCUCCCCCCCCAAAAAAAAAGGUAACAACUGGGGAGAAAAUAUUUGUUGAAACAAAUAUCAGUAUUUCAUCCCCUUUUCAUGAAAAUAUCUAAAAUUUGAAAUCAAUGCCUCCAACUACGAUACAGCAAUGGGAAGAAAGAAUACACUAGUGAUAAACAUGUGUCCCAAUAACAAUUAGAAUACUGCUCAAGAUUUUAUCCUCUUCCCAAAAGGAUACUUUCAAAGCUUUUCAAGUAUUAGAAGGGAUAAGAAAUGCAUGCAGAAUACCAGCUGCUUACUUUUACGAGGAGUUUAGAUGCAGCAUAUAACAGGUAUAUCAGCAGCCAAAGCACUUAAUUAAAUUAUUAUUUUCCUUUUUUUUUCUAAAAAAAUUCUUGUACCUGAAUAUAAUGGACUAGGCAAGAAUUUUCAUCACUAGGAUUCAGGCCUUGGUUGGAGUACACAUAAUUCUUGCCCUUUUCAAGUUUAACAACUCUAUUAGUCAAAUGCUGGGAUGGGAACAAUGGUUGGCAUAUUGGGUUUGAGCCCUUAAAGAAAACAUCUUCAGUGUACUGGAUAAUCGAUCCUGCUUCAUUAGAUUCAAUGUUUCCUGAAAACAAAUGAAAGUAAUGAGAUCAUAAAUGGAAACAAAAAGGAACGACCGAAAUCUCAAACAAUGCCAUUAAAAAAUUGAAACAGAAGGACCUGCUAUGUAACAUUCCAAGAAGGUCCUAGAGAGCAUCAUGGGUACAAAUUUAGCAAGAUCUUCAGCUUCAAGAUGAGGAAGAACUUCAAGUUCUUCCAUCCAAGGCCACGUUUGAUCCUGAAGUAUUAGAGAGCAGUAGUACAUAGCCAGUUGAUAUGGCUGUAGAAACUUAUUAUUAUGGUAUUCUUUUGUCACCAUUUCCUGCAAAUAAAUAAAGGGAAUGAAAAACUUUAUUCAUACAUGAACAGCUUGGGUUCAUAACAGACUCACCAAGGGAAGCAACAUGAUAAUGGUUCCAUACAGUGCAAAUGGGGAUUGUUAAGUCAAAAGUUCAACCAGUUGAGGAGUCGCUCACAGAACUAUCAAAUGCAAGUUCCGGAAGAACUAAAAAAAAGUGCUAAGACAUUUUUAGAAACAGCUUAUACACUUUAAUAAUCAAAUAUAAACAAAAAUAUAUUUUUUACCCUUAAUAUUUUAGUAAGCCCCUACCACAGUGAAGAUCCACUUCAGGGGGUUUGUGGUUGCUUAUGCAUGUGCAUCCACAUGAAUGGAAUCCAGGUGUAAAAGGUGAAAGAAAAAGAUACAUGCACGCCCACACCCAAAUGUACACCCCUAAAACCUUCACGCUGAAAAGCCAUGUUACUGAUUUGGAGCUCAAAACAACCAAAGCUAUGCAGGCUUUGGAACAGCACAACCAAAGAAAAUUAUUGUAAGCUCCCAAUUAUAAACAAAUAAUACUAGUACUUUGAUUCAGUUAGAUGUUUAAGAUGAUAAAAGAAAAUAACAUUCAAUGUCAAACAGGUCAAAUAUUUUAAGCCUAAAUCAUUACCUUAAUCACAGAAAAUCUGUCAGGUUUGACUUUGAAUUGUGCAAUUUUUUGAAAAAUAGUUUCCAGCAAGAUCCUCAAUUUGUGAUUAUAUCCAACCACUGUAACCUAUAGAAGCAAAAACCAUAAAAUCGACACAUAAAAAUGCAUACCAACAUGCGAUAAAUAUCAAAGGCAAGUGAUAACAUUACCUCAAAACCACUCUCAGUGUGGUUUAUCCCAUAAUCAAGGCCAGCAACCUGAGCAUAGUAAGCUGAUACAUAAAGAUAUGAUGGGUAAGGAAAAAAUUUAAUUUUAUUCACAAAUACAGAAUUAUGUAAAUUGUGGAAGUUAUGCUCUGUACCAGAAACAUAAGAAUUUUAUCAAAAUGAAAGAGAAGAUGAUAUGGAAGUGAACCAGAGGUUCACAAGGGAAACAAAGACAGUCCAAUAAAAGCUACCUACUAACCAUAUAGAACAAAUGCAUACCUAUACCUCAAACAGCAUACAAGUCCCAAAAUUUACUAAAAUGUGAAAAAAGCCCAAUCAAACAAAAUCAAUACAUGACCUCGGUCAACUCAACUAAACCUAAAUACAGGGAUCAGGUAUGAGAAGCCCUUUGGUAAUAAUCUGUUCCUUCAAUGAAAUUUUAGUAUGUGGAACUCUAGUUUACUUUGGAAAUCUUUCUCCCUUUAUUUAUUCUAUAAAAGUUUGUCUGUUUCCAACUAAAAAGAAUGAAAACAAAAGUUAAAAGAAAAGGAAUAGUCAUUUGUCCAAUCCUACAUCAACAUCCUACGACAUUUAUCCAGCAUCUUACCAUAUUCAUUCAAAUAGUCCAGUAACAACCGUGUGAAAAUAUCAGUCAGAACUUCAGAUUCAGGAGAGCUGCUAGCAUGGGGCAGUUGAAAUAAAUCUUAACAAAUGCCUUGGGUGUAGAGAACAUUGCGUCAGGCUUGUACCACAAUGUUGAAUAGGAUGACUUUCUCAACAGAACUGGGAAUUUGGCCUGUUACAAAGACCAAUUGCAUACGAACAAUUACUUUAAAGAGAACAUCACAAUAAAUUUUACUGUAAAGAUGGGGGAAAAAAAAUCCUGAGACCUCUUGUGCAUCCUUAAGAGACAAGUCAGUGGGGAUGAAGACAUUAGGAGCUGGGAGAUGCAGAUUUUCCUCAGGAGCAGACAGUAUCCAGUCCUGGAAACAAAUAAAGAUUUUGAAGACUCAUCAAUUCCUUCCUUCAAGCUGCUCUAAUCACGCAAAAUUUAUUUAGCUGCUUCCACUGAAUGUGGGACAAGAUAAAUAGCAUACACUCCAAUCUAAUAUGAACUUUUCCUUCUUGGAAAUCAUAUCCAUGAACCAAAAGAGAAACCCUGAAACCUCACCCUCCAUCUCAUUCUAAUAGCCAUUUGCCUCCAAGGACAUUGACCUCUGUUAUUAUUACUAGAAUAAUGAAUCAUAUCAUAUUUAAAAUCAAACAACGAACCUGAAUUAUGGACUCAUCGAUUUUCUCAAUGGAAUAAGUGGUACCAUACCAAGGCUCAACCAUGUCUGUUUUCCCCUCAAAUUGCUUUGACUCCCAAAAAAUCCUGAUAAACAGAGAGCUUAUUAGAAAGCCGACUAUCUGCCAAUCACAAUAGUCUGACUUUGAUUGCAAGAUGGAGACAGCCAAUUGUACAUGAAUUAUGAGACACAAACAUGUCCUUGAGCAUUACUACCAACAAGCAGAAAAAUGCAAGUAAUUACUCUUGAAAACAAAGUAUCAAAUCCGAAACUGCUAACCAAGUUAUUGGCAAUACAAUGAUAUUGAAAUGUUUCCCUUUUCUUUUAAACAUAAAGCAAUGGGAAGCAAACAAUUAGUUAUAUUACAGCAGAUAAUGGAAACAAGCAGAUAAGGCUUCACAUGCACAUGGAAUAGUUUAAAGCCAAACAAAAUUAUUUUACAAGAAAAAGAACUUAUCUUAUAGCAAGAAGAAUGGGAAUGAUAAAAAUAAAACAUCAUCCUGCCAUAGAAGUUCAACGAUAAGUCAAAUGCUUAAAUUAAGUUCGGAUAACUUCUACCAGAAUCAGGUACCAUGUCCAACAAAAUAGUGAACUAAAGUUAAACUUUUAAACAAUCAAAUUGGAACAGAUGUUAUGUACAAAGUUCAAACAACGGAACCAUGUGAGUCAUUCGUCAUAUGCACCGAGUCAAACGCUCUCUAGGCGCUUACAAACUUACCGAACAGUUUUUGGAGAAAGCUCAUUCAAAGUCAUUUGAAUAAUCUCUGGACUGAAAUUGGAAGGCAAUGAUUUACCCACUAGCCAGUCUUGAGGGGGAUAUGUCUGAAAAAUAAUUUCAAGGCAUCAUUUACUAACAGAAAAAACAGUAAUAAUUGACUCAUUCACAAUCAAAACAGACAACUGCAAAAGAAAGAUGUCAAUCAGCUACCAAUCCAUGAUUCACAAGCCCAAAUAAUCCUUAAAAUGUAGAAAAAAGAAAAGAAAGUCAAAUUUGUAAACUGUCUAUAAGAAUAGCACAAAGACUGGUUCUUGCAAAAAGCUGUUGGGAAUCUAAAAAAAGAGGUCCAGCAUUCAAAAACAAUGGUAGAACAAGAUUAUUAAUCUACUCACCAUAUCCACUUAUCUAUGUCUAACAUUAAACAAAAACAGCUUUAUGUGCAAGGGAAAGAGACAAUGAGGCAGGCAAGAUAACCAUAUUUUUCAUCCAAUCAAUCAUCGGAUAAAGGUAUUUUCUAGUGUUUCAAGUGGUGUUAGCAGCUAUGCCUCACAAUCAGUUCCUCAAGCUAUACUCCUACACUAUUCCAAUUAUUUUAAACAAUGUAAUAAAACUGGAUAUUUCGUUCAACCCAGCAGGAUUAACUUUACAAAAUGAAAAAGAACGUAUACCUCCAUAUAGGUAGCAACAGUAACCACAUAGUCAAUCGGGGGGACUUUAUCCUGAUAAUGAAAUGUCACCUCACAAACAGCUGAAAGCUUCAUAAGAUAAAAAAAAUGUCAGAAUGUUGAAGACUAGAUAGGCUGAAAACAAGACGGGCAACCUUCCAGAUGCAAAUUCAAUAAAUAGUAAACAAUUGAAGUACUGACAAGGAGAGAGUUGAUUAUCCUUCAAGCAAGAAUACAGCAUGACAAAACUUUUAAAAUAUUAUGAAAGACAUAAAAUGCAUGAUAAUAAUACAAAGCCAGAUUCAUUGAUGUGUUGGACUGCUGUCAUGAACUUUCCUUCCUUUCAGAUUGCAUGAAAGUAUAAAAGGAAGAAAAACUAGAGGGCAAUAAAUUUGAUGCAAUUUUUUUUCCUUUACACCGAGUAAAAACUAUUCUCAAACCUUCGGUGGAUAUACUGUGGGUGGCUAUACUCAAAUCUCUGGUGGUCAGCAGAACAAUUUCUUAAAAGCGUCCGUUAAGAUACAUCAUCUACAAGAACAUAUUCUUCCUGUUUCAACCAUAAUCCUAAAACUUAACAAUAGCAUGCAAGUAAUGUUUGAAUAGCAACUAUCAUAGUUCCCCCAUUUCACAUUUCUACAUAUACAUCAUUGAUACGGCCAAUUACAAUCACAAGUCAUUAACCAAAAGACCAACUUUUACCACAGCAUUGUAAGAACAAACUAUCGAACAAUAAUAGUAUCUCACAACUAAAACGUAAUGCCAUUAGCAGAGUCAAAUAACUUCUUGUUUCCAACAACAAAUAAUAGUAGUAGUAGAAAUAAGAAGCAAAAUAGAUACUAAGCUAACAGCCAAACCCCAACAUUCUCAGGUAGAAAAUUUAAUGCAAAUCAAUCAUCCUACCACUAUGCUCUUCAACAGAAGCAUCCUACAAAGAGGCAAGACUGCACGGAUGCGAGAAACAUGCAAUUAACAAUAAUACUAUGCAACAGUAGCAAUUAACAAGAUGCGUCAUCAUACCUCAUCAAAUAUCCAUUUGCUAGCACCAGACUGCCGUAAAAGGUUUAUGUAUUUAAAUAACAACCCCACAACAUCUUGCAUGUGCUCUGCUAGUCAAUCAAGGGGGGAAAAAUAUUUAACCCAAAAGAUCUACAAAUUGAAGUUAUUUGCAUAUUCUAGCAAAACAAAGUAAAUCAAUUGAUUAUAAUGAAUCACAUUCAAUUAAAUGCAGUGUGAGAUACAAAUGAAUUACCAUGACCAGAAUCAGUAAGAUCAACUGUAACUUCAAAGAAUGAAUAGUCCAAAGUCCAAUCUCCUUCACCUGCAGCCAAUGAUGUAGCCCAUCCUGCAAAAAAUUAUUUCAAAAAGAGGUGACUGGUCAGUUGGCCUUUCAAAGGUGAAAAUUUUUGGUGUGGAUAACCAAAGACCCUGAGCUAGUGUCAUCAAAUUGCACUUUGAUCUUUACACACAAAACAAACACAGACAUUAUCAACCAGAACAUACAUGUGCUUAUAUCAAGACUUCUUCCCACCCUGAAACUUGUGAAAUGGUUGCCAUCAUUUUACAAUCACAUUAUUUAUCAAUGAAUCAUUCCAAAGAUAUUCAUCAGUAGCUCAAUUCCUAAUCACGCAAAUAAAAUUUUCCCUUAAGCAUGAAAAAUUGCUCUCAUCAAAAUACCACUGCAUUCUUGGAAGAUCAUAGGCAACAACCGGAUAUGCUAACAUCAAAAUUAAAGAAAGUGCACUGCCAUACUUUACCUUUAAGCAAUAUCAAUGAACAAAUACUAAAAUAAAUAAACAAUUAAAUAUAUGAUAAUCAACACAAAUUAGUACAAGACAAAUUGUACAGAUUUCAGUGGACGUUAACCAAAGUCAUCAACAAUCCAGCCAUGAAAUGAGGAUCAGAGAGUGCUUUAUCCCCACUAAGCUGUUUGCAUCAAGCAGUGAUUCUUAAAAUUCUAGAGGAAAAUCAGUCCCUCAAGAAACCAUAACAUGCAGUAGCUUUGUAAAUUGUUUCUAACAUCCACACUAUGGAAAUAUGACAGGGUAGGCAUUGAAUACUCGGGGGGGGGGACAAUGAGAAAUACAUUGUAGUGAAAAUCUAAACAGAAUCAUUUGUCUGCUAACAUCUUAAAAAAAUUCAAAAUAUCAUUGUUUUAUGUAUUUUACUAUUCAAAUUAACAAAAACAAUUCAUUCUGAACUUGUAAAGAAGAAGAAGCAUCUCAAGCCUAAGGAUGUAGGAACACAAAUUAUGGACACUAAAACUUGGUUAAGUUCUCAAAUCAAAAAAGUUUCAGGAUGCAACCGAAAGCUGCAAGUACAUUGAGAAUCAGAAAUAUAAGGGAUAAGCAGAACCUACCCAAUGUUUUCAAGAUGUAAAACAAUGAUCCCUCUGACUCAUGCCCAAUAAGAUGACUGAUAUAUCUGCCUGGUGCUUCCUUGUAGUGAUGAACGCUUGGAGUUAUUGGCCAUCCAAUUCUUAGUUUGUGACCUUGUUUAAUUGGAACAGCCCUGGCAAGAAUCUGAAGCAAAAAAUAUAAACUAGGAAAAUUUGAAAAAAAAGGAAAAAAUUCUUUCCUACUUUCUGCAGUGUCACUUGAGACCCUUUGUCACCACAUAGAACUUGUGCAUACCUGUAAAUGUUCUGAUGUGCAAGGCUGACCAGGAAAACGGAAAAGAUUUCGAUCAGUGUUCCUAAUGUCCUGAAACUUAUUCUCCACUAGACCUUGAAUUUUAUCAACACUUUCUAGAAACAUCCAUCACAUAGGGUUGGUCAUUAUAUCUCAGAGUACUUCAGUCAAGGCCAAAAUACAGCAGGAAGAAUUAGUUCCUAACCUUUUGAAUACACAACCAGAUGCAUGAGGUUGGAAGAGUAAUGUUCAUUAUAAAACUUAAUGAGCUCAUGCCUUGUGUCCAAUCCUUUCGCUUUUGGUCGAACUUCCAAAGUUUCCCAGUUACCUAAACAUCAACAAGUACUUGAUAUAAACAUCUAUCUCAUUGAAACACAAUAUGCAGAAACUAGGGUGAAAAGGUGAAAGGAAAAAAAUCGUGAACACAAUGAAUUGUAGACAUCGACAGAACAACUUGGAAAUACAAUCAUUUUUUCAUAAAACUCUGAAAAAUUACUAAAAUGAAGAAAAUGAUAAAUGAAAAAGUAUAACAGAAUGUAACACUUUAUAAUAAAGAACGGAGAGAGAAUCAAGUAAGUUGCUGACCAGUGCUAAACUUAUGAUAUGGAUGAUCUUCUGAACUUAGAUGUUUCCGCAGCUGUACAAAUUUAAAAAAAAAAAAAAACAUAAAGGUAGUCAUUUCUCACAGAAACACUACCAAAACUACUACUAUGGUCAAAAGAUAUAACAACUUAAUCAUAAUUAACUUGCUGGAACUCAAAUACAAUCGUCAGGACCAGCUUUAUAAUUUAUGCUUUUAAGCCAAACAAAAAAUUAAUAUGAUAUGAACAUUAAUUUGACCAAGAGGUCUUAUAUUUGAAACCUCCCAUAUAAUUGCAUUCAGAUUUGUAUUUGCAUUUGCAUUAUCAUCUGCAUCUAAGUUAGUUUCUAUUUUAGCUUGAUCCACAUGACAAGGCUGUUAAUAAAAUUCAGAGGGUCUGUUAAUACUAUAGUUGAUAAAAUCCAGAUGGCCUGUUAAGGCUAUAGUUGACUAAUCUAUUAGCAUAAACUUUUAGGUCGAUUGAUGAUGAUGCUAAUUGUUAAAAGCAAUAAUGAUGACAACAUCAAUGAAGAUAAAUUACUUUCUUAUUUCUCAUUAAAAAGGGGGAAAAAGAACAACAACAACAAAAACAAGAUACUUGCUUAGUAAAAUCUCUUGGUACCAAUGCAAAGAUCUAGAUGGAAUCUUUUCUUCUCCAAGGAAGUUUCAAAGGUUGUAAAACAGGCCUUCGAAAAUAAACGAAUUCUACAAAAUUUGAUCUAAAAUUAUGUGGGACCUAUAUAUAAAUUUGAUACUUGGCAAUAAUUCCCAUUUAGCCUUAUUUCAAUGUUAAGCUUAACAACAGAAAUCCAAUCACUUGGCAUUAUUUUAGCUUGCUUAUAUUUUAGGAGUUAAUAUCUAGGUUUGAUUGAAUAGGCCUCACAACAGAACAUCAGUCCUUCUCUAUUAUAACUGUCCUGAUUGGCUUUUGCAUGAGGUCCUCUGUGGUUUUUUCUUUUUUUUUUAAAUUAAUUAAUUAUUUUUUUAUUUUGGGGCCACAUCAUUAGUAUUUGCAGUUUCCUAUUUAGAAUUUCAACCCUUUGGCGACUUCAGGAAAACUGGCAAGUCUCAUACAUUCCAGCCAAACGCUUUUAAAUGAAGAUCAGUUGCAC